CUAUGAUGAGCAUGAAACUCCUGCCAAGAAUUUAUUUAACGCGAUCGUUUAUAAGCGACCUCCACUACUUAUGAAUAUAAGUUUGUAACUAUUAGGUGAAACUCCCUUAUACUCUAGCAUCAUAUUCAUGCAUGCAAACUAAGUGUGCACUCUUAAUAAAAAUACAGGAAUAAGUUAUCAAUCAAGCAGUUAAACAAAUUGAAUUCACAACUUAUGAAAUCACAACUGAAGGUAAUCAAAUCAUAUUGCAAGCAUGAACAUGGUUUCGAAUUCCCCCCUAGCUAAGGGGGGUUUAGUUCCUCAUACUCACAAAGAAAAGAUAAACAAAUUUAGACAUUGAAAACAAAAGAAUGAAAACACCUAAAAACGCUCCAACAAUCCAACUUGAAUGGCAAGCACGUCCAAGGGUCCUCCUUCUUCUCUUUGUUGCGGCACAAGGUAUGGUUUGAUGGAUGAGUGGUAAAUUAUGGUGGUGGAUGGAUAUAAGUGAGUUAUGGUGAAGGGUGGAUGGGUGGAUUGUGUUCUCUCGGCCAAGGAAUGAAAGUGUAAGUGUAUGAAGUUGUGAGAUGUGAAUGUAGUGUCUUUUGAUUGAUCUUUUUCUCCCUCUUGUUAUGGUGAAGGAUGGAUGUAUUUAUAGUCUAGGGAGAGGACCACCAUCUAAUUAAGGUGGUAGUGGUGUAUGUUGUGGUAAUGAGUGGAUGUAAUGGGUGUAGUGGGUGAGUGUUUGGGAAUGAGUGGAUGUAAUGGGUGUAUUGGAUGGAUGUUUGGUAAUGAGUGGAUGUAAUGGGCGUAGUGGAUGGAUGUUUGGUAAUGAGUGGAUGUAAUGGGUGUAGUGGGUGGAUGUUUGUAAUGAGUGGAUGUAAUGGAUGUAGUGGAUGGAUGUUUGGUAAUGAGUGGAUGUAAUGGGUGUAGUGGAUGAAUAUUUGGUAAUGAGUGGAUGUAAUGGGUGUAGUGGAUGGAUGUUUGGUAAUGAGUGGAUGUAAUGAGUGUAGUGGAUGGAUGUUUAGUAAUGAGUGGAUGUAAUGGGUGCAGUGGAUGGAUGUUUGGUAAUGAGUGGAUGUAAUGAGUGUAAUGGAUGGAUGUUUGGAGUUGUAGGUCAACACACUUGCACACACACAUGCUGAUUUCUAUCCUUCAAAUCUUCAAAAACGUCCAUCCUCAUGUCUCCAUGCUUGCACUAUCCAAUCUUGGCCCAAAAAUGCUCCAAAUAGCACUUUGUUGCUAACUUUGUUAUUUGAACCUACAAACACACGAAAAUAGCUUAAAAUACAUAAUUGACUAAGAAAUAACAACAUAAAUGCACAAGAACAAGCUAACUAAGUCGCAUAAAUAUGCUCCUAUCAAAUUCCCCCACACUUAGCUUUUGCUAGUCCUCGAGCAAAACAGAACAAACAAACAAACAAAACAUAACCUAGACCUUCCAACAUUUGCCUCAGGGAUUUUCAAUGAAACAUGACAUGCCAAAGAUCACCACUUACAUAGAUUUAAGCAAUCCUUACCCUCGAGCAUACUUAAUCAUAGUCACCAUUCACUAGCUCACAUUUAAUCAAUUAAAACAACAUUUUGAAUGUAGUAACAUGCCUUAGAGAAUUCCCUCAAUUCCUUACUAGAUACUCUCUAUUUUCACACACAUUUUCUGGCUACACACCUUACACUAGUUAUAUGUGAGAAGAUUGAUGUAAACAUGGAAGACUAGUACUCACAUAUGUUAUAACAAAGAAAGCAAUUUUUGGAGUUAAUAAGCAUGUUUAGAUAUGAUCUUAUGAAUGAUAUGCUACUGCUUAGAUGCGAGAACCAGUGACACCAUAUGCUCAUACCAAUUUCGAACUCCACAAAUUGAAACACACAACACUCAAGAUUGAAGUUAAGGGUUGUAACAUGGCUUGGGGGUAAUGGCUAACAAAGAAAGGAUAGGAAUAACAAACGUUCUUAAAGUGAUAGCAAGCAAAGCAAUGAAAUAGACACUUCGAAUUCUCUUUAGAAUGUAGAAUCAACUUUUACAUACAAAGGGAAGAUUCAUGCAACACUUAGGGCCGAAUUCAAUGUGUUGGACCCUUUUUUAACAAACAACACUUUAGAGCUCUUGCUCAUACUCUUUUUUCUUUUCUCUACCCGUGCCUUAUUAAGGACUUUGGCACACACACACACAAUAAUCACUUCCCCCACACUUGUUUUUCUGCAAGAGUUCAACAAAAGGAAAUCCUUAUAAAUUAUGCUUUACUAUGCUUCAAGAACAAGGGUAUGGAUGGUCCUAUUCUAGGCGAGGUGAGGAUAGUGUGGGUAACAAAGAACAUAGGCUACACAAGGCUCAACAAGGUUAAACUUAAACACAUAAUGAACGGGAUAGGCUUUUUGGCUCUCGGCUCACUAAACCUUCAUCUUGAAUAUGUGUUAUGCAAAUCAAUAACAUGCUUUGAAUGAAAUAGGCAUAAGUUCUAGUAUUUGGAACUAAAUGAUGAAACGCAUUCUAAGUAGCAACCAAGCAAAGAAUAAUGAGAUCAUGCAACGACUUUAGAAAACAAUGAUGCACAUAUUAUUAACUCUCCAAAUAAAUGUUUAGGCUCAAGUCUCACAAGGUUGUAGCGUUCAUUUGAGUUCCUUCUUUCAAGCAUGUUACAAAAACUGAUUUUUUUUCUCUUUAUGAUUGCAUGUGAAUUCAUAAAUUAUAACCACAACCAAGCAUACACCAAAGAGUAAAUCAAAUUUUUAUCCAAGUUUAUAACUCUCUUUAACAGUCAUGUAAUUAAAAACCAAAUCCUCAUCAUUGUGUUGGAAGGUACCCUAAGACACAAAUAAACAUACAAAAACAACUCUUUUUGGGUUUUUCAAAACAAUUUUUCAAAUUUUUAUGAGAUUUUCGGAUUUUUAAAUCAAAACACACUAAUACACUCCAAAACAGCUUAAAAACACUUAAAACAGCAAGGAACAACACUAGAAGUAAUGGGUGAUAAACUCCUACGAAUUUCAUGCAAAACAACUUGGUUACCCCCCCACACUUAAAUCAAACAUUGUCCUCAAUGUUUCAAGCAUAAACUCACACAAAAACAAGCAAACAAACAAACAAUGAAUAAACAUGACAAGUAUGGUAAAGUAAAAACCAGACAGAGUAGAGUUUAAGAACGCAAAUCUGGUUUUAGAGAUAGAUGAUCUUGUUGACUUUCCACAGCUUUGAUCUCGAACUGGUUUGGAAUUCUGAGUAAGGACUAUAAGAGUUCCUUGGUUUCAAAUCAGACUCCUUCUGUUGUGUUGAUUUGAUUGUGCAUUCUGCAUUCUUCUCUGCUUGUUUCUUCUGCACGACAGGCAGGCACGAGGCAGAGGUGUUGGUCUGUUUCUUUCUACAAUCUUUCCAGGUGCCCACCUCUUGCUUUCUUUCUCCUUAUCCCUAGCUGACGAUGAAUUGGCACAUUGUUUACACAUGCUUCAAGGUAUCAUUUUCACUUCCCUUAUCUGUUCUCAUGGCAUAUGUGGUAGACAAAGAGGAAGCAUGAGAUGAUGAAGAUGAGUACUCGAGAGCAAGGCUAGGUAAGCAAUCAGGAAGGGGUUCCAGGCAGUCGGUUCCAGAGCGGAAGAUUGAUACCAAGUGUUGGCUGAUUGCUCUCUUUCUCCUUGUCCCAAAACAAUGACGAUGAGAAGGACAGGGAGAAAGCAUGAUAUGAGAUACUCUUGCUUUCAACCUUCAUGAUAUGAAAUACUUUUGCUUUGGAUGUGUUGUUUACAGAGGUACCCCAAGGAAUAAGGAACACUGAGUGACUCGAGAGGGUUUGUUGGAAAAGCAUUCUCGGAGAAGAAGAAGGGUUAUGUAUGUCUGCCUUGCAAUGGAGGGUGAAAGGUGACAUUUAUAGGAAUUAAUAACCAGUACUGUUCUUUCACUAUUGUGAGCAACCGUUGGAUGAUUUAUAGUAAACUUCACGUGCUUUCUACUUCACAAUAGAUCUUCGACAGAUUGCCCGUAAUUUCCGUAAGGCUAAGUGUGCAUGUGACAGGCGCUGACGCGUCUGGAAAAGCAAGUACCUCUUCGAUAUCUGGAAUCGACGCUUCGACAAACUACCCGUGAUUUUCGCAAAGUUGAUUCUGCAUGUGACAGAUGCUAACACGUCUGGAAAAGCAGAUGCCUUUCCGAUAUCUGGAAUUGGCGCUUCGAAUAACUGCCCAUGAUUUCCGCAAAGCUGACUCUGCAUGUGACAGAUGCUGACACGUCUGGAAAAGCAGAUGCCUCUCCGAUAUCUAAGCUUGCCUCUUCGAUAUCUGAAAUCCAGUCGAGUGCAGAGGUUGCAUGUGACAAGUGCGAACAAAUCUAGAAAAGAAGAUUGGCCGUGGUUUCUGAGCAAGCCCAGCUUUUGAGAAAGCUAGCGCCUCUUCGAUUUUUGAGUUGGCCUCUUCGAUUUCUGAGCUCGCCUCUUCGAUCUCUAAAAUCCCGUCGAGUGCUGAUUUUUAUAGAAGUACGCAGGAAGUUCAAAGCACACUUGAAUUUCUGCCUGUAGAAACUCCCUUCUUGCACUUCUACGAUCUUGACUUGUCCGGCCUCUUUUUUCUUUAACACCUCUGAAAAUGUCUGGCCCCUCCGACCGUCAUUUUGACUUGAACCUUGGUGAAGAGGCAGUCCCGCCUUCUUCAGACAACAUAUGGCGCCCAUCCUUCAUAUCCCUUACUGGUCCCCUUACCGUUGGGGAUUCGGUGAUGAAGAAUGAUAUGACAGCUGCGGUGGUGGCCAGGAGCCUUGUCACUCCCAAAGAUAACAGACUACUUGCCAAACAGUCUGAUGAGUUUGCUGUUAAGGAUUCUUUGGCUUUAAGUGUGCAGUGUGCAGGUUCUGUGUCUAAUAUGGCCCAACGCCUAUUUGCUCGAACCCGUCAAGUUGAAUCAUUGGCGGCUGAAGUGAUGAGUCUCAAACAGGAAAUUAGAGGGCUCAAGCAUGAGAAUAAACAGUUGCACAGGCUCGCACAUAACUAUGCUACAAACAUGAAGAAGAAGAUUGACCAGAUGCAGGAAUCUGAUGGUCAGAUUUUACUUGAUCAUCAGAGGUUUGUGGGUUUGUUCCAACAGUAUUUGCCUUCGUCUUCUGGGGUUGUACCGCGUAAUGAAGCUCCAAAUGAUCAACCUCCGAUGCUUCCUCCUUCUAGGGCUCCGCCGACUACUGAGACUUCUCCUAAGCAGCCUUUGUGAAGGCUCCCUCUUAUAGCUUUUUUAUGAAAAUGAAUGUAAAAAUACCUUGCAUAACUGGCAAUGUUUUAAAAAUAAACCCACACCAAAAACAAUUAUACAAGCAACAAAUAAAAAUGACAAUCAUGGCAAAAUAAAAUUACAGAAAAAGGAAGGUUUUUAGGAAUGCAAAACCAAUAGUGGAGCAAUUCAAAAAUCUUCCUUAUUUGAAUACAUGGGUUGCCUCCCAAGAAGCGCUUGCUUUAACGUCCUCCAGUCAGAUGAAACUUCCUUCUAAACUUGGAUAGGGCCCAUAGCAUGGAAUUGAUCCUUGAAUGGACGGUGAUACUUGACGUGAUCUGGCAAUAGUUUAAAUUCUAGUGUAGGUGCCUGAAUCAUCAAAAUCAGCAAGUUAGUAUAUAAUAAAAUCGAAGUUGGUGAAGAUGGCUUACUUGCUUGCUCCAACACAAACUCAAUUACGAACACCACAUCUUUGAAGGUUGCAGGGAUAUGGGACUUAGCCAGAUGAUUUGGUGUUUUGAGAGUUAUGACUUGUCCCGUGUCAUAAAAUCCAACUUCUUUGGUAAUUUUCGUCUCAAGUGUAUCUUCUUUGAUGAAUUCUAGACAUUCCCCAUCCACUUCUUGCUCUUGAUUCGUUGGAAAGGUUUCAAAGAUGCUUUUCUCACCCUCUUCUUCCUUGGAUUGCAUGAUCCUGCAAGGAAUAAGGACAUUUGGUGAAAUGGGGUCAAGACAAAUUGAAUUUAGGCUUACCUUGGUUGUAGUGGAAGGCAUAGAGGGCAUAUGGGGUUACGGCAAGGGUGGUUCUUCCCUUACCGUGGCUUUGUUAUUCUCCUCUUCUUCGAGCAUCAGUUGUUCAUCCAUGUUUUGGCUUGGUUUGGAUGUCUUGGGUUCACCUCCAACCUCCAUAGCACUUCCCAAAGUGAUAGCAUCAUGGAUUUCAAAAUCUUCCUUCAAAUUUUCAACAGUUGAGUUGGAGAGUUCACUUUGCUCUUGAAUUUGUGCCAUGAACUCCAUAAUCUGCCCAAUUUGCUUCUCCAAUUCACCCGUCUUCUUGGCUUGAUUUUGCAUCUCUUUGUUUCCAUUUUCUACUUCCUGGUUCAAAGAGAUGAGUAACAUAUUAAACAUAUCAUUAUCCAAAGACAUACCUGAAUUGAAUUGGGUAAAUUGUUGUGGUGGCUGCAUAGGUCUUGAAUAGAACUCAUCUUCUUGCUGCCAAUACCCAUCUUGUUGGAAUUUUUGAGGUUCUUCCCACAUGUAAUCUGAAUAAUCUCUCCAAUCCGAAUUGUAAGCGUUGGAAAACAUGUUGUCCCAUGAUUGGCUAUGGCCUUGAUAACCCCAAGCAUCUUCAUUCGCAGCGAAUUGAGAACAUUGAUGAGUUGGAUAUCCUUGCCCAUAGGACACACCAUAUGUUGGGACACUUUGCAUUGUGGUCGCUUCAGCAUAUUGUGACAAUUGAGAAGUAAGUUUCACCAAUUGAGCUUGAAUGGUAGCAAAAUCCAUGUCUUGCUUCUCUAGUACCUGAAAUCAAGGAAACAAAACUAAAUCAAAUAUCAUAAGUAAGAAAUAAAAGACACAAAUAGAAACAAAGUCAGUAACUAAAACAAAAGACAUGAAAAAGAAACAACGGGGGAUUAGCAAAGUUGCUAAUCCCCGGCAACGGCGCCAAAAAUUUGAUGCGAAAAUUAACUUAACACACAAAUUAAACCCUCUUGUUGUCAAAUUGUAGUAUAAAUGCAAGAAGGGAUCGUUCUAAACCGGGGAUUAGGAGGGCUUGCUAAAACCUCUAAACUGACUUAAAAACAUAUAAACAAAGCUAAAAACACUAAACUAGACUCAAAGAACUUAAAACAAGCUCAAAGGACUCAAAACAAGCUAAAAACGCUCAAAUCUGCCUAAAAAUACAAACUGGGCAGAUUUGGACUCUAACACACUUUUGGGACACCUAAUCUACUAUCCAAUGUGAUUCAUUUACUUAUAUGAUUACCUUGAAUGUGAUUUGGAAUGACUUCUUAAAUCUCAUUCAUACUCUGGCCAGAGAUUCUUAAUCAUAUCAUAAAGUAUUCUCCUUCAAACGGUUUGAAGGUUAGAGAUCCCUUGUUGCGCAUUCACUUGCCUCCAUGGCUAAGUGGCUUAACCCCAACUAUGCCGUGGACACCCUCUGAUGGAGUGACUUUCACAUAGUCAAAGAUCAAGGACUUAACAACAAGACAACUAUGAUGGCUCAAGUCAAAUGACUACUUUGCAUUAUCCCAACCAUGAGUUCUCAUGUGACAUGAGUAUGAGAACUCCUUCGUUGAUCGUGUUCAGUGGAACUCAUUCUCUAUUGAGCACCUACAUACUUGUCUUGAUGUCACAUCACACCAAUGACUCGAGACUAGUCACUCUCCCUGAGAGAAGACACAGCACGUACUGAUCUUAACGGACUGUCAAUGCCCAAUUGGCAAUCCUAUGAUCAGGAACGUUUAGGAUAUGUAUACGAAAGAGAAUGGUCUCAUGAAUCUAACUUCUUUUAGAUUACAUUCUCCCAAUCACAUAUUCCUUGGACUUUAUCGUUUAAGCAUAUAACAUUUAUAUGAGACGGCUUAAAAACAAUAAUCUUUGCCCUUUAUAUUAAACUAGAUUAGUUUAACAUGUGAAAUGUCCGUAAAGUAUCAUCACAUGAUUGGUUUUAGGGCACAUUUCCAACAAUCUCCCACUUGCACUAGAGCCAAUCAGCUUGGUCAUCAGUGAUGAUACCUCUUCUUUAGUCAUUUCAUAAAAAUGGCUGAAGUAGUAGGCCUAGACAAUGGAUAUCUAUAUGUUAUCCAUAGAAGCAACCUUGAGAAUAACGACGUCACCAUUAUACAUGAUUCUCAAUCAUGUGGUUCAGUCUCUCAUUUGAGUUCGGAUCUUGAUGAGACCUUGAUUCCCUGGCUUGAGCUAUCGCCCCAUUAGUGUCGUAGUGUCGGUACACUAGAGACACUUUCUGGUUGGAACCGAAUAGAGAGUUCAUAAAUGAACUUUCCCAUCCAAACAACAUUGUUGUAAGCUUCUAUAUGGCAAUAUAUUUUGCAUUCAUAAUGGAACACACUAAAGUCAUUACUUUUAAUGUUUCCAUCCAAAUAUCUCUUUAGUCAUAAUAAAGAGAUAUCUGAUUUAUCUCUUCAUUCAUAAUGAAGAAACAUCCAAUGAUGGAUUAGAUUCAUAAUCUAAUACAUUUACGCUUCCAUUACGUUACUCUAAUUCUUCCUCAUUCUUUGAGGAAUCUAUCCUUUAGUAUUUCUUAAAUACUUAAGGACUCACUUGACAGUUGCCAUGGUUCUGAUCCUGGGCUUGCACUGAUAUCGUCUUGUACCGUUCUAGGUACAACUCAUAUCAAUGUUUUUCAUACAAUAUGAAAUACAUAAAUCACCUUUCUGCGUAUGCAUAAAGGAUUCUAUUUACGCAUUAUUUCUUUGGGAGUCAAAGGGUACGUUCCCUUUGAGAAGAGCAACUUGCUAGUCUCACUAGACUUGUCCUUCUAAUUGAAGUUUAUCAUCAUAUGAGAAACUUCCUAGCAUCUUUUGUCUAUUAUAGGGAUUGAUAUAAUCCAAUUAUAUCAUGAAAUCUAUCAUUAUAGAUUUCCAUCCCAUGUAUAUAGACUAUGUCUCCCAUAUACAUUCUAUCGUUCAUAGAAUGUUUAAAGUCAUAACUUUAACGAAGAAGUAUUCUUUUUCAUUUCCAAAAUUAAUAUAUCAUAAUAUUUGUAUAUAUAUAUAUAUAUCAAAUUUAGGAACAUGAUUAACUCCCACUAAUCUUUUGUAAACCUAGUAAACAAAAGAUUCAUUUACAUCUUUAUGAGAAAUCAAACGAUUUGAUCCUUUUCUCUCAUAAGACGCUUAUAGCUCCCACUAGCUUGCUAAGAUCCAUGAUGGAUGGAUCUCUACAACUUACAUGUCUUGUGAUUCAUAGUUUUAGACAUAUAUUAUCAAGACUAUCUUAAUAAUGGUUUCGGAAACCCAUAUUAUGUCCAAAACAUUGAAUCACCAUUUAGUUGUAGCUAGCAAUCUUCGAAUUAAUUGAAACCAAGACUACGUCAAAGAUGGUUUCUUCAAAGUCAACCAUUCUCUUUGAUUGUAGUCACCUUAAGCUACCAAUUAGCUAUGAAGGUUUCAUUAUUUCGGGUCAAAUGGUACUUUACCAUUUCCUUGAGUAUAUAUCGUAUAUACACUCAAUGUAGUCAUAAGGAUUUUCAUUCUUAUUUCUUUCGAAUUAAGAGGUGCAACUCUAUGACAUAGUCAUAAAGUUCAAACCAUUCAACUGAGACUUCAACUGAGACGGUUUAUAAAUCCUUCUCGACUACCUUGGAGCUUGUGGUAUAGGAACUAGGUUGUUAUAUUUGUUGAUUAUCAUUCUUGUCUCUCAAAGAACCCAUUCUUUGAGUUCUAUCUCUCGUUCAUUUGCUCUUAGGCAAAUCACAUUGUAGGAUUACAAUGAACUACCCAACAAAAACAACAUUUGUUAGUUGGUUUAUAGAAGCGAUAUCCAAAAGUUAAUUUAAGGAUAUCCCACAAGAUUGUUAUCAAACAAAUAUUGCUUAUUAGCACACAACCCCAAAUCUUAACAUGCUUAAGAUUUGUCUUUCUUUCCAACUACAUCCUUAUGGAGUCAUGAAAAAUUUUGGAAGAUCUUCUAAUUGACAAUCAUAUUGUUUUAGAAGUAUAUAUCCUAUAUAUGGGUAAUUGAUAACAUCCAACGAACUAAAUCUUAUUCGAAGUUCGUUCUUCUCCUUAAUGGAGAAAUCCAUUAUCUUAUGAUGCUUCUUUCCUUGAUAUCUUUCAAGGAAACUGUUCUAAAGUGUUACCUUUCCUUGGAUCAAAUCUAAGGAGGUAAAUACUUUAGACGUCUUACUCAUCAACUUACAUUUCUUGAAUUCUUUGAAACCUUUUGCAAAGUAUUCGGACUUGUGUUUAUUCAAAAUAAACUAUAGUCCAACCGAGAGUGAUCUUCGGUGAAUGUCAUACAACAUGAGUAGUAUUAUGUUGUGGACAAGUGCCACUAACAUCUAAGUGAAUUAACCUCAACAACUUUGUGAUUCUUUCUUCUUUCCAAAAGAAUAAAGAUUCAAACAUUUCGCCUCUAUACAAUUUUAACAAGAAGGUAUUGGAUCCGGAUCUAACGAUCCAAAGCAUCCAUCUAUGACCAACUCGUAAUUUAUGUUUUAGAGGUAUCACAACUUUAGUUGGGAUUAGUCACUACCUUGCAACCUUUUUGGGUUUUAAGCAUCAUUAUAUUCUAAACAGUUAACACCACCAUAUUAUCUCUACUAUAGAGACAAUCAAUUAGAUUACAAUAAUCCAAUCAUUGAUUAAUAAAGAACAAUGUUUUGUCAAACAAAACAUUCAUCCAUCUCUUAUAGUGACGGAAUUAAGUUCCUUAAAAUUGGAAUGUAAAGACAAUCUUUGUUUUUCCAAUUUCUUUGGUAGUUCAUAUGAGGAAGUAAGUACCAUCUGCUUUCGCAGAGAUCUACAUUUGAUUCACGUUCCGAAUGUGAAGUACUUUCUCUUCUCUCAUUAAUCUUCUACUUCUUAUUAGCCACACUUUUACAACGAUUGUAAAACAUAGUUACUAAUACGGAAUCAAGCAUUCAAGUAGAAGAACCAACUGUUUUGAACUAUUCAAGAACAAUUUACAACACCUUCGAAAGGUGUGUUCUUGACACUUGCAAGACAUUUCUUGCAAAUACCCCUUCCAAUGUCCAUCCUUUCAUAAAGAAAGUUUGUUAACUUGGAGUUUAUUUCGCUUUUUCAUUUGACUUCUCCUUUGACUACAAUAGUCAUGGUCCCUAAACUCCCACUAUCUCUCUUGAAACUUAUUUCAAUUGUGUUAUACACAUCAAACAAUUUGGAGAGCAUGUGGUUAUUGUUCACUAUAUAGUUUACAAUAAACUUAGUGAACCAUUUGGAUAGGGACACAAAGGUGAAGUCCUUGCCUAGUUUCCGUCUCUAGAAGUGGUUUAACACUUCAACACUCAAUGAUUCAAAAUCAUCAUAAGUCCAUGUUGAAUGGACUAUUUUUGUCAACCAACCAUUAUGUUCUAAACAUAAUUACAAACUUUCAAGAGUUGUUCAAGGCAACUCUCAUUUCUUCAUACAACAAUUUGUAAGUGAAGAAUCAUGGCACAUAAAGUGUCCAUGCCCUUUGUGCUUUCUUCUCAAGUUCUUUGUUCAUUUAACAAAGAAACAAGCACUAAGUGUUUGCAUUGACUAAGGGUUGUUCAAAGCAACUCUUAUUUCUUCAUACAACGAAUUUGUAAGUUGAAGAACUUAUGACAUUAAAAGUGUUGUCCUCUUUAUGAUAGACUUAUCUAACAUGUUCUUCCAAUGAUACAUUAUCAAUAGGAAGAUUGUGAGGAUGAGACUACUUAGGUACAUAUACAAUCCAUUUAAGACAAUCUUUGGGAUUGUGGUACCAAGUCCGGAAACUAAAGCAUUCGGCUUUUCUUUGUCAAGUUUUUGGAUAGCGUUUGCAAAUAUAUUGGUAAACAAAUACAUAACGAAUAUAAAUUGAUUGAUUUUAAGCCAUUUGAUUCGGGUCUUUAAAUCAAAUAGCACCACCCACUAUUUUUGGCAAAUUCCAUAUCCCUCAUUGGAAUUCGAGAGUUUUGGAGGAAACUCUUAGUAGGGUAUGGGAGACUCACUAUUACCAAGCCCACCUCACAAUGAUAUGAUGUUGGCUAGCAUUAAUAAUAAUGAGAGAGUACGCUUACUCAUUUGCAUCUCUUGCAAGUACCCAUCUUAUUUGGCCUCUAGAGAAUGAAGCCUCACAAUGAUAUGAUGUUGGCUCCAUUGGACUUAGUUAAGUCAUUCCCACCAUGCAAGUUCGAGUAGGGGUUCAAGAACAACCUCACAAUGUUAUGAUGUUGAUCAUUCUCGUUGCCUACCUUCACAACAUCAUAUAUGCGUAUAGGAUUCCUCCUGAGUGUAAGCACGCACUUUGUACUCCCCCAUGAUAGGGUGAAGUCGGUGUACGAGUCACAAACGAUCGGAGCCUACCACGGUGGAAGGCCACGAAAGAGUGUUCAAAGCACUCUCACGCUUUAUCAACUUAAAAUGAUUUGGUUGAGGGUUUUAGGUCUCAUCUUAUAUAAACAUACAUUUUAAUCUCUAUUAAAACAAUUUUGGUCCUAUUACAACUAUUGGUCCAUAUGAUUGUUUUAGUUGUAUAUAAUACUCCCACUAUGCUUAUAAAACGGUUUUUAAAGCAAGAGUAUAUGAUACUACUAACAUAAGGUUUGCAUUCAUUUGAUGGACUAUAUAGUUGCCUUAGGGCCUUAGGAUGACUAUGAACCUUUGUUUAGAUUCAACACGAGCCUAGUGUUGAAUCUCGGUCUAGGGAUGGUGAUUGAUUUUUAGUUACGCGUUUAAUCACAUUAAGGCGUGUUUUUCUAUUGGGCGUUGGACCCAACUACUUCAAUUUUCAUGCAUAUCAAAUAAAGCAAGAAAGGAAGUACUUCAAAGUAAAGAAGUGAGCUUAUGCUCUUUUACAACAUUUGCAUAAAACAAAUUACUUUAAAGUAAAGAAGAGCUUGUGCUCUUUUACAACAUUUGAUCAAAUCAAAUUACAACCAAAAUCUAAUCUACACAUUCCCAUGGUUCAAACAAAUUUGAAACGGCCUUUCACAUAGCUCAAUUAUCGUAGGCUUAGGUUCAUAAUCACCCUUUAAUUAAUUAACGCUUUAACUAAUUAAACUUGAAUGCAACAUUUUCAUUUGGUUUUUGUAUCCAUAAAAUUGAUUUAAAUGGAGCUAAAUGAAAUGAAAAUCCAAUUCUCAUUUAAAGAGACAAAACAAUUUUGUUCUCUACCUAAUUUGGGCCAACAUGAAAUAACCACAACAUUUUGGCUAUAUUGCAAAACACAAACUUUUGGGGUCACUUUGUAAAAACACAAAAGUCCACUACUUCAUGUAAUUACAACUAGAACCCAAAAAUUUCAACAAAUACAAAAACUUCAUUAAAGGAACAAAAACAUUUGUCCUUUAGUGAUUUUGGGCCUUUAACGUAAAACGUAAACUUUUGGGUCAAACUGCAAAUACACAAAAGUAUCAAAACUUUAUGUAAUUGCAUAAAAGCCCCAAAAGAACCCUAUUUUAAUAGGGUGGCCGGUUAUAGAGAGUGAAGGGAGUGAUGUGUGUGUUGAUUUGUAGGUUUGACAUAAAGUCAUGCAAGUGGUGCAAGAGGUGUGUGACAUAAAUUCAUGCAAGUGGUGCAUGACAUAAAUUCAUGCAAGUGGUGUGUGUGUAAGAGAAGUACUUCUUACACACCCAUCACCAUUUCUAUCACCUCUCAAAAUUUCAAUCACAUUUAAACAUUUGAAAAAGCACAAAACAAAGACUUUAUGAAAUAAAUCAAAACUUUGAAUCAAAACACCAAACUUUUUGUUCUUGGCUAAAUCAUCAAGAACAAUGAAGAACAUUUAUGAAAAACCCAUAAAAGCUCCAUGAACAUUUUUCACCCAAAGACAUCCCAAAAACACUCAAACUUAAGGGAAAUAACAUAUAACCAUACUAGGGUACAUAGGGGUUCCAAAAGUCACUGGAAAACACUUUUAACAAGACAAACAUGAACCCAAAAAUCUACCCUUUGGAUUUGGCCGAAUUUCCCAAAACCAUGGCACCAAAUUUUUUAGCUCCAAAAUUCAUGCUCAUAUGAACUACAUCUACAACAUUUGAGAUGGCAAAUUUUCUAACAAAAUUUACAUUCAAAGAAGCAAGAAUAAAGCUUGUAACAAUUACAACAUUUUAAAUCAAAACUAUGAACUACAAAACCCAAAAGGAUUCACCAACUACUAGACCUAGGCUCUGAUACCACUUGAAGGAAAUUUUGUGAAAAACAUGUUCAUUUGAAGCAACAUCUAUAAGCAUGCAAUUAACAAAUUAAAGGCGGAAUCAUGCUUGCAUGCACUUCAAAAACAAAACAUUACCCAUGAAAUUCAAAGCCUAGUAGAUUAGGUGAACCAAGACUCAACUCAAAACAAAGUGAGUUAAGAAAUUUAUACCUUUGUAGAUUCCUCUUUGCAUAAGCAAAGGCUAAUCACCCAAGAGAUAGGGCCUUCAUUCCUUGCUUCUUAGCUCCAUGGAUUUGGAUGAAAGAAUUGGUUUCUCCAAGUUCUCCAAAGUUGAGAACCUCUAAGUCUCCACACCAAGGAAGGAUUGAUGAAGAAAUGAGUGACCUUGAGAGAAGUAAGAUUGCUAGCUAUGUUCCUCUAAGGGUGGCCGGCCUCUUAGAGAGCAAAGAGAGCUUUUGUUCUCAUCUUUUCUCCCAAAAGAAACCCUAAUGAAUUGAAAAGGCUAUAAAAAGUCAUAUUUAUACCUACCUUCAUUGGAGUGGCAAACUUGUAAUAAGUCCAAAAACCCACUCCAUUAUCAAAUAUGGCCCGGCCAUAGGGGUGUUAUUGGGCUAUUUGGGCCUUUGUGAAUCAUUUAGUCAUUAAGUUGUCAUACAACUUAAGUCAAUGGGCUUGACAUUUGAAGCCCAUUGGGCCUUGAGGCCCAAAACUAACCCAAGGUCUUUAACGAACUUUAUUCGUUUGAUUAAUUAACAUAUUAAUUAAUCUUUGCCAUAAAUAAUUAAACCAUUUAAUUAUCCUUACUCAUCUCCGUUGUUUCUUCAAUCUCUGCCUUACACGGUGUACGAUCCAUUAGGUUCCUUUUAGCGAGGCAGUGGGCGAUUUAGAACUCUUUCAAAUCGAUUGUGAAUUGAAACUUACUUUCAAUUCUCCCUUUAGUGAUUAUACACAUUUAGGGCUUCCACAAACCAUGAGUGACACCUAGCAGUAUGUCACGGUUACCCAAGCUAAUCAGAAGAGGUGGAGAACCUAUUCAGUUUAGGAUUACAAUGCAAUACGGUCUUUCUCUAAUACAAUACUCUUGACCACAUUGUUUGGAUUGAUAGUUUAUUCAUGUCUACUAUCCAAUGUGAUUCAUUUACUUAUAUGAUUACCUUGAAUGUGAUUUGGAAUGACUUCCUAAAUCUCAUUCAUACUCUGGCCAGAGAUUCUUAAUCAUAUCAUAGAGUAUUCUCCUUCAAACGGUUUGAAGGUUAGAGAUCCCUUGUUGCGCAUUCACUUGCCUCCAUGGCUAAGUGGCUUAACCCCAACUAUGCCGUGGACACCCUCUGAUGGAGUGACUUUGACAUAGUCAAAGAUCAAGGACUUAACCACAAAACAACUAUGAUGCCUCAGGUCAAAGGACUACUUUGCAUUAUCCCAACCAUGAGUUCUCAUGUGACAUGAGUAUGAGAACUUCUCGUUGAUCGUGUUCAGUGGACUCAUUUGCUAUUGAGCACCUACAUGCUUGUCUUGGUGUCAAUCACACCAAUGACUAGAGACCAGUCACUCUCCAUGAAAGAAGACACAGCACGUACUGAUCUUAACGGACUGUCAAUGCCCAAUUAGCAAUCCUAUGAUCAGGAACGUUUAGGAUAUGUAUACGAAAGAGAAUCGUCUCAUAAAUCUAACUUGUUUAAAUUACAUUCUCCUAAUUACAUAUUCCUUGGACUUAUUGUUUAAGCAUAUAACAUUUAUAUGAGACGGCUUAAAACAAUAAUCUUUGCCCUUGAUAUUAAACUAGAUUAGUUUAACAUGUGAAAUGUCCUUAAAGUAUCAUCACAUGAUUGGUUUUAGGGAACAUUUCCGACAGAAAAUGUGUUUGUUUUGUGGUUGAAAUGAUGACGAACAUGUGUGUGCAAGGGUAACAACUAGUACAAUGUGGAAAUGAUGAUUACAUGGCAGCACACACACAUGGGAAAGCAAAGAAUACACAUCACAUGGACAGCACGGCACAUGGGCAGAAAAAAGGUGGUUUUGUGGCUGAAAUGAUGGAGGUCAUGUGUGUGCAAAUGUAAAGGGAAACAUGGAUAGCACACACCCAUACAAACUGCACAUGUAAGGAAUUGAAGUGGUCCUCUCCUUAGCCUAUAAAUACAACCACCAUUCCCCUUCCUAAAAAAAAUCUUGAUACAUAAAAAAAAAAAAAGAGCUUCAUUCACAAACACAAGUCCCUUGCCGUGAGCUCCAUUCCAUUUCAUCCAUACAUUCAAACACAUCUCCAUACACUUCCAUUUUCAUUGCCAUGAGAUCCAUUCCAUCCAUACAUCCAUAAAUCCCACAUUUCACAAACACAAAUACAUUUUCCUUCCCUUGGCCGAGACAUUCACCAAUCCUAAAUACAUUCCUAACCUUUCCAUAUAUCCAUACACAUCCUAGACACUUAUGCCGCAACAAAGAGAAGAAGGAGGAGCCUUGGACGUGCUUGCCAUUCAAGUUGGAUUGUUAGAGCGUUUUUAGAUGUUUUCAUUCUUUUAUUUUCAAUGUCUAAAUUUGUUUAUCUUUGCUUUGUGAGUAUGAAGAACUAAACCCCCCUUAGCUAGAGGGGGAAUUCGAAACCAUGUUCAUGCUUGCAAUAUGAUUUGAUUACUUUCAGUUGUGAUUCAUAAGUUGUGAAUUCAAUUUACUUAUCCAUUUGAAUUAAAACUGAUUUGUGUAUGUUGGUUGAGAGUGCACGCUUAAUUUUCAUGCAUAAAUCUGAUGCUAGGAUAUAAGGGAGUUUCACCUAAUCGUUAUGAACUUAUAUUCACAAGUAGUAAAGGUUGCUCGUCACAACCGUGUUAAGUAAAUUCUUGGCAUAAGUUUCAUGCAAUUCAUAGUUACAAGUGUUUCGUCAAUGCUUAUGAUUUUCAUUGAACUUAAUGAUUCUUGCUUGUAUCUCUAUUAUGCAAUUCAUGUAGGGAACUUGUGGGGAAUGCUUUGGGUUGUUGUAUGCAAUCAUCCAAUUCAAUGAAAUUAGGAAAAUCUGAGGGUUAAUUAGUGCAAUUCACAGUUAAUCUGGGGCGUUGAGAAUUCGUAGUUUAUUGAAAAGCAAUUGGAAAUCGUUUUGUUUGCCAGUGUGUCAUGUGUGAAGAAGAACCUCCUAGCUAGCCUUCCAUCCAUUCAAUUUACUCAAAUUCGUGCAGAUUUCAUUAGUUAUUUAAUUUACUUGUUUUGUUUUCAAAUUCAUCAAAACCAAAACCCCAUUUACCUUGUUGAGUCAUAUUAGUUAGAAACUGAUUUAGUUUGUGCUUUUAAGUAUUUCAAACCAAGUUGAAAUCAAAAUUCGUCCAAAAGUGUGUUUAGAGUCCAAAUCUACCCAGUUUGUGUUUUUAGGCAGAUUUGAGUGUUUUUAGCUUGUUUUGAGUUCUUUGAGUUUGUUUUGAAUUCUUUGAGUCUAGUUUAGUGUUUUUAACUAUGUUUAUAUGUUUUUAAGUCAGUUUAGAGCUUAUUAGCAAGCCCUCCUAAUCCCCGGUCCAGAACAAUCCCUACUUAUACUUAUACUACAAUUGUUAAAAGAGGAUUUAAUUUGUGUGUUAAGUUAAUUUUCACAUCAACACAGUAGGCUGUAACUUUGACCCAAACUCUAUCCCUGAAUCUGCAGCAGAGAGCUUGCUCGACCUCAACCCGCUUGCCCCACCACCACCGCCGCCUCCACAACAACAAGUUCUCAUGCCUUGUUCAGAGACCCACACAACAACACCAUUGACCAUAACAACGAAAUCAACAAUUCCCAUUUGGUGUCUUUUGAGCACCCAACAAAUUGGGACAACAAUAUUCAUGGAGUCCAUGAUCAGAUGCAGCAACAAGUCCCGGAUAGUACUACUACUGCUAUUUCUACCCCUUACCUACGACCACCUGACCUUCUUAACUUUUUCAGCUUACCCAGAUGCUCUCAUUCCUCUCGUCUCCAAAAUCCAUCCAUCAUCUUCACAAACCCCAUCCCAAAAACCUCGAAUUUUUCGAGCUCUUUGGAGUCCCUCAGAGACCUCCCCUAGCGCGGUUGACACCCCAUAAGGGACGGUUUCUUUCGUUCUCUAUGACCCAAUUUUCCAUUUGAACCUCCCUUCACAGUCGCCAUUAUUCAGGGAGUUGCUUCAGUCUCUGCCGUAUGGGUACACCUUGCCUGGCUCAGGAAACGGGUCGCUGUUCAGUAGCGGCAUCAAUAAGAGAAAGAGAAGUGAAAGAGGGGUUCUGUAUGACCUAGAUACAGAAGAAAGUCUUGGGAGGUAGUUUGAUAGCGGAAUUUUGGAGUUCUCGAGAAGAAAAUGUGUGGGAGAGAGAAGCAAGAGGCACAAAUAAGAUGAAUGAGGCAGGGAGGAUUAGGUUCCGGGCGGACAGCGACUCGGAAACUCGAAUGGGUUCUGCUCGUGCCUGAUUUGGAUGCUCGACAGCGCAGAGACGGGUGAGGUUCUGGCAGUAGAGACGUGGGAUUUGCAGGAUGUGAAUGUGGGGAUGUAUGGGAAGGUGAAUUUGAGAGUGAACACGUGGCAUAACGUGCUGUUGACGAUGCAGAGGAAGACUUAGGCUCUGGUGACGGAGCGAAAGCAGGGGAUAUGGGGAAUAAUGAGUGAUGAGUAAUGAGAUUCUCGCGGCAACCAUUGAAGCAGCUCUGUGAAGAACUGCCUUGUGGACUUCCUCGUUGCCGGAGACCAUAAACGAAGCUCACUGUUCUGCACUCGCAUGGGAACACAGCUGAUCUGGGUCAGAUGUACGAGUUGUCCAGUGAGUUAAGUCUCCACCUCCGAGUCAACUUGGUAGAGUAUGAUUAUUCGAGUUACGGACAGUCUUUGCUACCGGCCUUCGUGGCCCAUCAUCUCAAGAUGGGGGAAAGCAAAAGCAAAACGGAAAACAAAAGGUCCCAGCAGCAACCAGGCAGUGGGAAAAGAAACAAAAGCAGAAAAGAGAAAGUAAAAACAAAAGAAAGCAGAAGGGAAAAGCCGAAAAGAAGAUGAUCCACUAUUCCACUACUCCAUUAUCCCACGAGAUAACAUAUUAAAGAUAAGAAGAUGCCCACCAAGGUUUUUAGUCUCCACUUUCUGUUAGACCAGAAGAUGCCCAUCAACAUGCUGAAACAUGUAAUUUAUUUUUCUUAUCUUUCGGAGACAUUUGUAUAAACCCCAUUAGAGGGUAAUAAUAAUAAAAAAUUAAAAAUAAAAUUAAAAAAAAAAGGCAAGCCCAAAAUAAUAGGCUGGCGAAAGCCCAUAUGCCCAAAAGAGCUAGGCCCUCUAUUAUCACCAACCAAGUGGUCAAAAGUACGUCCAGUACUACAAAAAAUUAUUCGGCACCCUGCCGCUAUUACCACCAACUAGGUGAUCAAAAGUACGCCCAGUACUACAAAAAAUUAUUCGGCAGCCCGCUGCUAUUACCACCAACCAGGUGUUCAAAAGUACGCCUAGUACUCCAAAAUUAUUCGGCAGCCUGUCGCUAUUAUCACCAACCAGGUGAUCAAAAGUACGUCCAGUACUCCAAAAAUUAUACAUGAGCAUCACUCAUGUCAAUCAUACAUAAACAUUCAUGACCAUCAUUCAUGUCAGCAUUCAUGAGCAUCACUUAUGUCAACAUCCAUGAGCAUCACUCAUGUCAAUCAGCUUCAAAAGCUUCAUUUACAGAGCUCUAGCUUCAAAAGCUUCAUUUACAAAAGCUCCAGCUUCAAAAGCUUCAUUUACAGAGCUUUAGCUUCAAAAGCUUCAUUUACAGAGCUCUAGCUUCAAAGCUUCAAAUUGCAAAGCUUCACCUACAAAGCUUCAGUGCAUAGUCUACAAAGACCGCCUCCGAAUAACCGCCAUUUCGGCCCACACAUGGAUUGAAUUUGAAGUCUCCAGCCAACAGCCUCUAUUGACCGAAGACUUGGGGGACUACAUUAGGUACCAUAUAUUGGGCCUCAAUUGGGCCUUAUGAAAAAUACUUGAGGGACUUAGCCCAUUAUUUAUGUACUAAGGAGUGAGCCCUUAUUCUAUAAAAGGGACUCCCUCACCAUCAUUAGAGAGCAUGAACUCUAGCCCAUUAUUCAUGUAUUGAGAAACGAGCCCUUAUUCUAUAAAAGGGACUCCCUCACCAUCAUUAGAGAACAUCAACUCUAGCCCAUUAUUCAUGUAUUGAGGAGCGAACCCUUAUUCUAUAAAAGGGACUCCCUCACCUUCAAACGCCACAAGCCAAGCCAACCAAGGCAACAUAAGCCACAAACCGAGCAGCCUCGCAACAUGUGCUACUUCUAGUUAAGCAUCAUUUCACUUUGAGCACCGCCUCAUAUCGAGUAUCAGUUCAAGACGACAUCUAGGUACUUCGGCCCACACAUGGACUGAAUUUCAAGUCUCCAGCCAAAAGACUCUCUUGACUGAAGAGUUGGGGGACUACUGUUUGUACAAUACUUAAGGCCUCUGUAUUUAGACCUCGUAUAAAUACUCAGGGGACUUAAAUGUAAUUAUGUAAUAAAAGAAGGGGAAAAUAUGUAAUAAAUGAGGAGCCCUUAUUCUAUAAAAUGACCCCUCACUCUCCUCAUUGAGGGAGCCCAAUUCUUAGGCCAUACCCUCACCCUCUCAGAGCUCUCAUCCUCACAGAAAAGCUCUUUCUCUCUCCCUCCUCAACAUCUCAGAGAAAUACAAUAAUCAGUGUGGACGUAGCCCAAACAUUGGGGUGAACCACGAUACAUCUUGUGUUAUUUACUUUCUUGCAGAUUCACGGUCAGAUUUACGUUGUUCCAAGACCCAUCCAUUUUUGUGCAUCAACAAGGUAAGUUCAAGUAGGUAUACGGUAUUAGUUGAACUGAUGGGGUUAUGGUAUGACUACCUUUAUGUUUUAAGUAACUCCGACACGGUCGUACAGGUUGCAAUAGUAGGCAACUCCGACAUUGUUGUACAGGUUGCUUAUGAGUCGUACAUGUGGUAUUAAAUGCAUUUAAAGCUCGUAAACUUGCACCCCGAUGUCAGUGCUCUCGCCCGUGGCCAGGGCAUAGUCCUUCACGUAAUGUUCACCUCUCGCACCAUACGCUUACCUUGAAUUCAAGGUAGGCGAACAUGCCUGUCGUACAGACCGCUAUAGGUGGUUCCGACUCGUAGGUGACUCUUCACGUGAUCGUAGCACUUGAGCGUAUUCAUUUACACCCAGUCCUGUCAUACAGACCACUUCAGUGGUUCUGACUCGUAUGCAGGCGUAGUGCCAUAUAGGUCACUAGAGGUGACUCAAGGUAGAAUGAGCUAUGACCUAUAAACUUAGCUGUACAGGCCACAAGAGGUGGAUUCGGCUGACAUAUCAUUUGCAUAUGCGAUGAGAUACGAAUAUGUCGUACAGGUCACUAUAGGUGACUCCAACUUAUAUGCUAGCAAUGAUUAAUGAGAUAUAUGAGGAGAUAUGGAUAAGUCGUAUAGGUUACUAGAGGUGAUUCUGACUUGUAAGCUAGCAUAUGUAAUGAAUAUGUGAUGAGCUAGCAUAUGUGAUGAGCUAACAUAUGUGAUGAAAUAUGUGAUGAACUAGUAUAUGUAAUGAGAUAUAGGUAAGUACAGGUCACCGCCGACUUGUGUACUAGUAUGAGUUAUUAAUCACAUAAUUAUUCGAUAUUGCUGACGAGAUACUGUGUUGUGAUAUAUUUAUGAUUUUUCUGGAAAUUAUACAAGUGUCAUGGCGAGGGGUUAGGAUGUUUUAUAUGGUUUCUAUUAAAAUUUUAUUACAGGGCCACUUACCCUUGUCUUGUCUUCACCCUCCAGGGUUUAUUAGCUGAGCUUUCUUAUCUUCGAAGAUUCGUGGCGAUUCUAAGUAUUGGAGAUUAUUUCGAAGGUAUGAUGCGAUGAAAGUUAAGCACUCAAAUUAAACCCUCUUUUGACAAUUGUAGUAUAUGUAUAAGUAGGGAUCGUUCUGGACCGGGGAUUAGGAGGGAUUGCUAAUCUAAACUAAACUGACUUACAAAAAGAAACUUAAAAACACUUAACUAGACUCUAUAGACUCAAAACACUUCAAAACACAAACUAAAACAGAUUCUAACUAAUUAGACACACUAAAGUAAAGGGGGAUUGGGUUUUGGACGAAAGUAAAGUAAAACAAAACAGAAACUAGAACUAAACAGAUUUGCACGAAAUUGGUUGUUUUGGAUGGAUGAUGGGCUAGCUAGAAGGUCUUUCUCCACACAUGACACACUUGCAUACAAAUCAAUCUCCAAUUACUUUUCAAUAAACUAUGAUGCUAAACACCCCAGAUUAACCGUGAUGCACAAAUUAACCCUCAGAUUUUCCUUUACUCAUUGAAUUGGAUGAAUGCAUGCGACAACCCAAAUCAUUCUCUAAAAGUCCCCUAUAUGAAUGCAUAAUAGAGAUACAAUUAAAGAUCAUUAAGUUCCAUGAAAAUCAUAAGCGUUGACGAGGCAAUUGUAACUAUGAAUGCAUGAUACGUUUGCCAAGAAUUCAAUUAACGCGAUUGUGACAAGCAACCUUCACUACUCAUGAAUAUAAACUUGUAACGAUUAGGUGAAACUUAUUUAUAUCCUAGCAUCAAAUUCAUGCAUGAAAACUAAGUAUGCAACCUUAACAAACAUACACAAAUCCGUUAUGAAUAAAAUAGAUAAUUGAAUUGCAAUCACAACUUGUCAAAUCACAAUUGGAAGAAAUCAAUUCAUAUUGCAAAUAUAUUCAUGGUUUCGAAUUCUCCUCUAGCCAAAAGAGGUUUAGUUCCUCAUACUUGCAAUUAAACAGAAACAAUUGAAAUUAAACAUUGAAAACCAAAGUAGAAUACACCUAGAAUGCUCCAGCAAUCCAAAUUGAAUGACUAGCACAACUCCAAGCAAUCCUCAUUCCUUGCAAAUAUGCGGCACCAAGGUGUGAGUGGUGAAUGGAUGGUCUCUUGUGGUGGUGGAUGGAUAUAGGUGAGUUAUGGUGAAGGGUGGAGAGUUGUGUAGAUGAUUUGGUGUCUUUGGAUGAUGGCCCCCAAAUUAUGGUGAAGGGUGGAUGUAUUUGUAAGAUAGGGAGAGGAGUGUAUGGAGUUGUAAUGAGUGGAUGUAAUGGGUGUAGUGGGUGAGUGUUGUGGUAAUGAGUGGAUGUAAUGGGUGUAGUGGGUGGAUGUUUGGUAAUGAGUGGAUGUAAUGGGUGUAGUGGAUGAGUGUUUGGUAAUGAGUGGAUGUAAUGGGUGUAGUGGAUGAGUGUUUGGUAAUGAGUGGAUGUAAUAGGUGUAGUGGGUGACUGCUGUUGGGUGGUUGAAAUGAGUGGAUGUAGUGGUAGGUGAAUGUGUUGGGUGGAAUGAGUGGAUGUAGUGGUAGGUGAAUGGAUGUGUUGGGUGAAAUGAGUGGAUGUGGUGGUAGGUGAAUGUGUUGGGUGGAAUGAGUGGAUGUGGUGGUAGGUGAAUGGAUGUGUUGGGUGAAAUGAGUGUGCUAAAAUGGUUAUUUAUAAGGAGAGUAUGAUGCACAAACUUCAAAUUUCGUCCAUUCCUUUUGCUCCAAGCAUAUGCUAUCCAUUCCAUGCCCAAAAAUGCUCCAAAAUGCACUUCUUUGCCACAUUAACCCUUUGGACCUACAAACACACGAAAAUAGCUUAAAAUACUAAAAUAACUACGAACUAACAACAUAAAUGCCAAGAAACAAGCUAACUAAGUCGCAUAAAUAUGCUCCUAUCAAAUUCCCCCACACUUAGCUUUUGCUAGUCCUCGAGCAAAAUAAAACAAACAAAACAAAACAAAACAAAACACAACCUAGACCUUCCAACAAUUGCCUCAGGGAUUUUUAAUGAAACAUGACAUGUUAAAAUCAUCAUUCACAGAUUUUGGUCAUCCUUACACUUGAGCACAUACUUAUAGUCACCACUUACUAGUUCACAAUUAACCAAUUAAAAUGAUGUUUUGAAUGUAGUAACAUGCCUUAGAGAAUUUAUUCAAUUCCUUACAAGAUACUCUCUAUUUUCACACACAUUUUCUGACUACACACCCUACAUUAGUUAUAUGUGAGAAGAUUGAUGUAAACAUGAAAACGAAAACUCACAUAUAAGUAUAACAAAGAGGGCAAUUUUCUGGAGUUAUUCAGCAUGUUUAGAUAUGAUCUCAUGAAUGGAAUGCUACUACUUAGAUGCGAGAAUCAGUGACACCACAUGCUCAUACCAAUUCCAAACUCCACAUAUUGAAACACAUAACACUCAAGAUGAAGUUAAGGGUUGUAAUGGGACUUGGGGGUAAUGGCUAACAAAGAAAGGAUAGGGAUAACAAACGUUCUUAAGCGAUAGCAAGCAAAGUAAUGGAAUCGACACUUGGAAUUUACUUUAUAAUGCAAAAAUCAACUUUUAAACACAAAGGGAAGAUUCAUGCAACACUUAGGGUCGAAUUCAAUGCUUUGGACCCUUUCUUCAAUAAACAACACUUUAGAACUCUUUCUCAUAUAUUUUUCAACUCUUUUCACAACUUUUCUUCUUUUCAUUCUAUUUUCCACGAAUUUUUCUUUUUCUUUUUCUUUUCUACCCGUGCCUUAUGAAGGACUUUGGCACACACACACACAAGAAUCACUUCCCCCACACUUGUUUUUAUGCAGAGUUCAACAAAAGGAAUUCCUUCUAAAUUAUGCUUUACUUUGCUUCAAGAACAAGGGUAUGGAUGGUCCUAAUCUAGGCUAAAUGAGGAUAGUGUGGGUAACAAAGAACAGAGGCUACACAAGGCUCAACGAGAUUAAACUUAAACACAUAAUGAACGGGAUAGGCUUUUUGGCUCUUGGCUCACUAAACAACUUCAUCUUGAAUAUGUGUUAUGCAAAUCAAUAACAUGCUUUGAAAGAAAUAGGCAUGAGUUCUAGCAUUUGGAACUAAAUGAUGAAACGCCUUCUAAGUAGCAACCAAGCAAAGAAUAAUGAGAUCAUGCAACGACUUUAGAAAACAAUGAUGCACAGAUUAUUAACUCUCCAAAUAAACGUUUAGGCUCAAGUCUCACAAGGUUGUAGCGUACAUUUGAGUUCCUUCUUUCAAGGAUGUUACAAAGCUGAUUUCCUUUAUGAUUGCAUGUGAAUUCAUAAAUUAUAACCACAACCAAGCAUACACCAAAGAGUAAAUCAAAUUUUCAUCCAUGUUUAUAACUCUCUUUAACAGUCUUGUAAUUAAAAACCAAAUCCUGAUCAUUGUGUUGGAAGGUACCUUAAGACACAAAUAAACAUACAAAAACAACUCUUUUGGGUUUUUCAAAACAAUUUUUCAAAUUUUUAUGAGAUUUUCGGAUUUUUAUGUCAAAACACACUGAAACACUCCAAAACAGCUUAAAAAAACUUAAAACAGCAAGGAACAACACUAGAAGUAAUGGGUGAUAAACUCCUACGAAUUUCAAGCAAAACAACUCCAAAACAGCUUAAAAACACUUAAAACAGCAAGGAACAACACUAAAAGUAAUGGGUGAUAAACACCUACGAAUUUCAUGCAAAACAAUGGUUACCCCCCCCCCCACACUUAAAUCAAACAUUGUUCUCAAUGUUUCAAGCAUAAACUCACACAAAAACAAGCAAAUAAACAAACAACAAAUAAACAUGACAAGUAUAGCAAAGUAAAAAAAAACAGACAGAGUAGAGUUUAAGAACGCAAAUCUGGUUUUGGAGAUAGAUGAUCUUGUUGACUUUCCACAGCUUUGAUCUCGAACUGGUUUGGAAUUCUGAGCGAGGAAUAUCAGAGUUCCUUGGUUUCAAAUCAGACUCCUUCUGCUGGGUUGAUUUGAUUGUGCAUUCUGCAUUCUUCUUUGCUUGUUUCUUUUGCACGGCAGGCAGGCACGAGGUAGAGGUGUUGAUCUGUUUCUUUCUUCAAUCUUUCCAAGUGCCCACCUCUUGCUUUCUUUCACCUUGUCCCUAGCUGAGGAUGAAUUGGCAAAUUGUCUCCACAUGCUUUGAGGUAUCAUUUUCACUUCCCUUAUCUGUUCCCCAGGCAGAUGUGGUAGACGAAGAGGAAGCAUAAAAUAAUAAAGAUGAGUACUCGAGAGCAAGGCUAGGUAAGCAAUCAGGAAGGGGUUCCAGGCAGUCGAUUCCAGAUCGGAAGAUUGAUACCAAGUGCUGGUUGAUUGCUCUCUUUCUCCUUGUCCCAAAACAACGACAAGGAGAAGGACAUGGAGAAAGCAUGAUAUGAGAUACUCUUGCUUUCAACCUUCAUGAUAUGAAAUACUUUUGCUUUGGAUGAGUUGUUUGCAGAGGUACCCCAAGGAAUAAGAAACAUUGAGUGACUCGAGAGGGUUUGUUGGAAAGGCAUUCUCGGAGAAGAAGAAGGGUUAUGUAUGUCUGCCUUGCAAUGAAGGGUGAGGGGUGACAUUUAUAGGAAUUAAUAACCGAUACUAUUCUUUUAUUCUUGUCAGCAACCGUUGGAUGAUUUAAUAGUAAACUUCACGUGAUUUCUACUUCACAAGGGAUCUUCGAUAGAUUGCCCGUAAUUUCCGCAAGGCUGAGUGUGCAUGUGACAGGCGCUGACACGUCUGGAAAAACAAGUGCUUAUUCGAUAUCUGGAAUCGGCGCUUCGACAAACUACCCGUGAUUUCUGCAAAGCUGACUCUGCAUGUGACAGAUGCUAACACGUCUGGAAAAGCGCUUCGACAAACUGCCCGUGAUUUCCGCAAAGCUAACUCUGCAUGUGACAGAUGCUGACACCUCUGGAAAAGCAAAUGCCUUUCCGAUAUCUGGAAUCGGCGCUUCGACAAACUGCCCGUGAUUUCCGCAAAGCUAAUUCUGCAUGUGACAGAUGCUGACACGUCUGGAAAAGCAGAUGCCUCUCCGAUUUCUGAGCUUGCCUCUUCGAUCUCUGAAAUCCUGUCGAGUACAGAAGUUGCAUGUGACAAGUGCGGACAAAUCUGGAAAAGAAGAUUGGUCGUGGUUUCUGAGCAAGCCCAGCUUUUUAGAAAGCUAGCGCCUCUUUGAUUUUUGAGUUGGCCUCUUCGAUUUUUGAGCUCGCCUCUUCGAUCUCUGAAAUCCCAUCGAGUGCUGAUUUUUAUAGAGGUACGCAGGACGUUCAAAACACACUUGAAUUUCUGCCUGUAAAAACUCCAUUCUUGCACUUCUACGAUCUUGACUUGUCCGACCUCUUCUUUCUUUAACACCUCUGAAAAUGUCUGGCCCCUCUGACCGUCGUUUUGACUUGAACCUUGGUGAAGAGGCAGUCCCGCCUUCUCCAGACAACUUAUGGCGCCCAUCCUUCAUAUCCCCUACUGGUCCCCUUACCGUUGGGGAUUCGGUGAUGAAGAAUGAUAUGACAGCUGCGGUGGUGGCCAGGAACCUUGUCACUCCCAAAGAUAACAGACUACUUGCCAAACGGUCUGAUGAGUUGGCUGUUAAGGAUUCUCUGGCUCUCAGUGUGCAGUGCGCAGGUUCCGUGUCUAAUAUGGCCCAACGCCUAUUUGCCCGAACCCGUCAAGUUGAAUCAUCGGCGGCUGAAGUGAUGAGUCUUAAGAAGGAGAUUAGAGGGCUUAAGCAUGAGAAUAAACAGUUGCACAGGCUCGCACAUAAUUAUGCUACAAACAUAAAGAGGAAGAUUGACCAGAUGCAGGAAUCUGAUGGUCAGAUUUUACUUGAUCAUCAGAGGUUUGUGGGUUUGUUCCAACAGCAUUUUCCUCCGUCUUCUGGGGCUGUACCUCGUAAUGAAGCUCCAAAUGAUCAACCUCCGAUGCCUCCUCCUUCUGGGGCUCCGCCGACUACUGAGACUUCUCCUAACCAGCCUUUAUGAAGGCUCCCUCUUAUGUUUAUCUGCUUAAUGUUCCUUUCCUUUUUUAUGAAUGUAAAAAUACCUUGCAUAACUGUCAGUGUUUCAAAAAUAAACCCACACCAAAAACAAUUAAACAAGCAACAGAUAAAAAUGACAAUCAUGGCAAAAUAAAACUACAGAAAAGGGAAGGUUUUUAGAAACGCAAAACUGAUUGUGGAGCAAUUCAAAAAUCUUCCUUAUUUGAAUACAUGGGUUGCCUCCCAAGAAGCGCUUGCUUUAACGUCUUCCAGCCGGACGAUACUUCCUUCUAAACUUGGAUAGGGCCCAUAGCAUGGAAUUGAUCCUUGAAUUGACGAUGAUACUUGAUGUGAUCCGGCAAUGGUUUAAAUUCUAGUGUAGGUGCCUGAAUCAUCAAAAUCAGCAAGUUAGCAUAUACUAAAAUCGAAGUUGGAGAAGAUGGCUAACUUCCUUGCUCGAUCACAAACUCAAUUACGAACACCACAUCUUUGAAGGUUGCAGGGAUAUGGGACUUGGCCAGAUUUGGUGUUUUGAGAGUUAUGACUUUUCCCGUGUCAUAAAAUCUAACUUCUUUGGGAGUUUUCGUCUCAAGGGUAUCUUCUUUGAUGAAUUGUAGACAUUCCCCAUCCACUUCUUGCUCUUGAUUCUUUGGAAAGGUUCCGAAGAUGCCUUUCUCACCUUCUUCUUCCUUGGAUUGCAAGGUCAGGACGAAUUGAAUUUAGGCUUACUUUGGUUGUAAUGGACGGCAUAAAGGGCAUAUGGGGCUGCGGCAAGGGUGGUUCUUUCCUUGCCAUGGCCUUGUUACUCUCUUCUUCUUCGAGCAUCAGCUGUUCAUCCAUGUUUUGGCUUGGUUUGGACGUUUUGGGUUCACCUCCAACCUCCAUAGCACUUCCCAAAGUGAUAGCAUCAUGAAUUUCAAAAUCUUCCUUCAAAUUUUCAACAGUUGAGUUGGAGAUUUCACUUUGCUCUUGAAUUUGUGCCGUGAACUCCAUAAUCUGCCCAAAUUGCUUUUCCAAUUCGCCCGUCUUCUUGGCUUGAAUUUGCACCUCUUUGUUUCGGUUUUCUACAUCCUGGUUCAAAGAGGUGAGUAACUUAUUAAACAUAUCAUUAUCUAAAGAUGUACUUGAAUUGAAUUGGGCAAAUUGUUGUGGUGGCUGUGAUGGUUCAUAUGGCCAGUGAUAGAACUCCUCUUCUUGCUGCCAAUAUCCAUCUAGUUGGAAUUGUUGCGGUUCUCCACACAUGUAAUCUGAAUAAUCUCUCCAAUCCGAAUUUUAAGCGUUGGAAAACAUGUUGUCCCAUGAUUGGCUAUGGCUUUGAUAGCCCCAAGCAUCUUCAUUCGCAGUGAAUUGAGAACAUUGAUGAGUUGGAUAUCCUUGCCCAUAGGACACACCACAUGUAGGGACACUUUGCAUUGUGGUCCUUUCGGCAUAUUGUGACAAUUGAGAAGUAAGUUUUGCCAAUUGAGCUUGAAUGGUAGCAAAAUCCAUGUCUUACUUCUCUAGUCCCUAAAAUCAAGGAAACAAAACUAAAUCAAAUAUCACAAGUAAAAAUAAAAGACACAAACAGAAACAAAGUCAGUAACUAAAACAAAAGACAUGAAAAAGAAACAACGGGGGAUUAGCAAAGUUGCUAAUCCCCGGCAACGGCGCCAAAAUUUGAUGCGAUGAAAGUUAAGCACUCAAAUUAAACCCUCUUUUGACAAUUGUAGUAUAUGUAUAAGUAGGGAUCGUUCUGGACCGGGGAUUAGGAGGGAUUGCUAAUCUAAACUAAACUGACUUACAAAAAGAAACUUAAAAACACUUAACUAGACUCUAUAGACUUAAAACACUUCAAAACACAAACUAAAAUAGAUUAUAACUAAUUAGACACACUAAAGUAAAGGGGGAUUGGGUUUUGGACGAAAAUAAAGUAAAACAAAACAGAAACUAGAACUAAACAGAUUUGCACGAAAUUGGUUGUUUUGGAUGGAUGAUGGGCUAGCUAGAAGGUCUUUCUCCACACAUGACACACUUGCAUACAAAUCAAUCUCCAACUGCUUUUCAAUAAACUAUGAUGCUUAACACCCCAGAUUAACCGUGAUGCACAAAUUAACCCUCAGAUUUUCCUUUACUCAUUGAAUUGGAUGAAUGCAUGUGACAACCCAAAUCAUUCUCUAAAAGUCCCCUAUAUGAAUGCAUAAUAGAGAUACAAUUAAAGAUCAUUAAGUUCCAUGAAAAUCAUAAGCGUUGAUGAGGCAAUUGUAACUAUGAAUGCAUGAUACGUUUGCCAAGAAUUCAAUUAACGCGAUUGUGACAAGCAACCUUCACUACUCAUGAAUAUAAACUUGUAACGAUUAGGUGAAACUUAUUUAUAUCCUAGCAUCAAAUUCAUGCAUGAAAACUAAGUAUGCAUCCUUAAUAAACAUACACAAAUCCGUUAUGAAUAAAAUAGAUAAUUGAAUUGCAAUCCCAACUUAUCAAAUCACAAUUGGAAGAAAUCAAUUCAUAUUGCAAAUAUAUUCAUGGUUUCGAAUUCUCCUCUAGCCAAAAGAGGUUUAGUUCCUCAUACUUGUAAUUAAACAGAAACAAUUGAAAUUAAACAUUGAAAACCAAAGUAGAAUACACCUAGAAUGCUCCAGCAAUCCAAAUUGAAUGACUAGCACAACUCCAAGCAAUCCUCCUUCCUUGCAAAUAUGCGGCACCAAGGUGUAAGUGGUGAAUGGAUGGUCUCUUGUGGUGGUGGAUGGAUAUAGGUGAGUUAUGGUGAAGGGUGGAGAGUUGUGUAGAUGAUGUGGUGUCUUUGGAUGAUGGCCCCCAAAUUAUGGUGAAGGGUGGAUGUAUUUGUAGGCUAGGGAGAGGAGUGUAUGGAGUUGUAAUGAGUGGAUGUAAUGGGUGUAGUGGGUGAGUGUUGUGGUAAUGAGUUGAUGUAAUGGGUGUAGUGGGUGGAUGUUUGGUAAUGAGUGGAUGUAAUGGGUGUAGUGGAUGAGUGUUUGGUAAUAAGUGGAUGUAAUGGGUGUAGUGGGUGGAUGUUUGGUAAUGAGUGGAUGUAAUGGGUGUAGUGGAUGAGUUUUGGUAAGAGUGGAUGUAAUGGGUGUAGUGGAUGAGUGUUUGGUAAUGAGUGGAUGUAAUAAGGUGUAGUGGGUGAGUGUUUGUUUGGGUAAUGGUUGAAAUGAGUGGAUGUAGUGGUAGGUGAAUGUGUUGGGUGGAAUGAGUGGAUGUAGUGGUAGGUGAAUGGAUGUGUUGGGUGAAAUGAGUGGAUGUGGUGGUAGGUGAAUGUGUUGGGUGGAAUGAGUGGAUGUGGUGGUAGGUGAAUGGAUGUGUUGGGUGAAAUGAGUGUGCUAAAAUGGUUAUUUAUAAGGAGAGUAUGAUGCACAAACUUCAAAUUUCAUCCAUUCCUUUUGCUCCAAGCAUAUGCUAUCCAUUCCAUGCCCAAAAAUGCUCCAAAAUGCACUUCUUUGCCACAUUAACCCUUUGGACCUACAAACACAGGAAAAUAGCUUAAAAUACUAAAAUAACUACGGACUAACAACAUAAAUGCCAAGAAACAAGCUAACUAAGUCGCAUAAAUAUGCUCCUAUCAAGGUACGAUUCUUAAUUCACUCUUCUGUACUUACUUAUGCUUUAACGUCACGUGUGAAGUGGGUUCAUACCCGUUCACCAGUGCAUUCUGGUAAUUAGGCACUUUUAGGUUUAAAUUUAUUCACAAUUUUCCCACAUCAACACAUUUCAUGGCUUCGUCACCUUCCAGGUGUCGGCCAGCACAGCUCGAUUCAGAAUCCUAGUGGACAUUUCGGGUCGGGGUGUGUCAUCUACACUAAGGGGGUGGGGGAGUGGCUAAGCCUCACAAUGGGCCUGCAAUAAUGUGGUUCAAAUUUGCCUUUGGUGAGAAUCGAACCUAAGACCUCUCACUUACAAGUGAAGAGGAAUACCACUAAACCGUAAUCACGGUUCUAAAAGACGCUAGGCGCUAGUCAAGCGGCGGGCUAAGGCCUAGCGCCUAGGCAGCUAGGCGGGCUCGGACUAGGUGGAUUUAAGUGAAUCUAUUAUAUUUCGUGUAAAUAAGUGACUGUUUAUACUUAAAAAUUAAAUAAGUGCUUAUGUACUUAAAAAGGUAAAACUAAAAAAUUAUUUUGAAUAAAUAAUUAUAAAUAUGGAUAUAUGUGUAAAGUUUAAGGGCUUUAUAUGUUAGUUUCAUAAUGUUUUUCAAACUCAUUCAACAAGUGGGAUGUUAGGUGGCACGUUGGUAUUUGGAAACAAUUAAAAAUAGGUUUGUAACGUGGGAUUGGCAUAGGAAGCUUUCCUCUGCAUCGUCUUCUUCCUCGGAAAAAAGCUGGGUUCCUCAUUCUCCAUAUUAAAAACAGAGGCCCUGCGUCUUUCCUUUCUCAACCAUGCUCAGACCUACUAAGCCUCCAGUGCCUGCCUAGGCGCCCUAGUCACCGCCUAGCACCCUUAGGCACCUGCCCAAGCUCUUCAGGUGCCCGCCUAUCAUCUUAUUCGAUUUUCCUCCCGAUUUGGAACGAAUCGGAGCUAAUGACCACCGUGUAGCGCCUAGGCGGCCGAUUUUUAGAACAUUGACCAAAGUACUAAGUGGCAUUGUUGGUCUUUAUAUUGAUUAUUAUAUAAUUUUAUAUAAACAAAAAUAUAAACAAAUGAUUUUAUAGUACUAAUUUUAGCUAGCCCACCCAAGAAAAAAAUCCUAGCUCCGCACUUGCUCAAGUUGUUUCUUUGCCAUUGGUUUCAUAUUUAAGAAUGAUCCAUGUUUGCUUUAAUUAAUACCAGCCUCUCUGCACGCUAGUCAUGCGUGCCAGAGGCAUUUUUGCAUCACGGGGGCUACGCGCCCCUAAAGGUGUAUUAUGUUAUUUUUAUUCCAUUGUAAUUGUCAAGAUAUAUUUUAAAUGUAUUGUGCAAAGAUGAACUUUUUCUUUACCAUGCACGUCCUAAAAAGUUGUCAUGUUUUUCGUUUUCACUUUGCAUAAAGUAAUGAUUUAAAUGUUAUUCAUGCAAUUGUCAAAAUAUAAAAGAGUAGAUAAAGUCCAUGAACAAUAGUAAGUAGAUGUAAAUAAAAAAAGAGUAGAUAAAAACAUUAAGUACUCAUAGCAAAAUACAAAACAACUUAAAUGUCAAAAUAUAAAACCUACAUCACAAUAUGUACAGUAUUCACAAUACCCAUAAAGUCUAUAUUGCACUAUUCUUUUGAAAAGAAAGUUUACAUAUUGACAUCAAUGCUACAAUUUCCACCCAUUUGUUCCUGAUUGAUUCUUCAAAUUUUCAUUGCCAAUCUACAAACGAUAGUGAGAAAAUUAAAAACCAAAUAAAAAGAGUUAAUUGAUAAGUGAGAAAUGCAUACUGAAAGGUUAUCGUUAAUAAAGUUGUUACCUAUUAGGAAUCACCAUAAUUAGCUGGAAUGAAGCAAGACUUCUUUGUAUACUAUAAUUAGCUAGAAAAAGAUCCGCAUGUGAGAGGCAUUUUCUUUAAUCACGGGCGCUACGCUCCUCUUAAGAUGUGUUGCGUUAGUUGUUUUCUUUCUCAUACCGCAUCAUAAAAAUAAAAUAGAACAUACACUUAUAAAUAAAAAGGAAAUAGAGCAUAACUAAGCUGUGUGUAAAAUGCGUAAUAAACAAAAAGUUCUUUGCAUGCAAAAGCACGUUUGAAGAUGUUAACGAAGAAUAAAGGAAGAAAUACAGCAAGGAACCAAAUAAUAGUGUUUGAUACAAAACUAAACAAUUAAUUCAUGACAAUAAGCUGAGCAAGAAUUUAUAUGUAUCAUCUUGUCCUUAAAAUACCACAAAAUACCACAAAAUACAGCUCACUUAAAUCUCAUCUCUUUGAACACUUUAUCUUAUUAAAAGCUGCUAAUUAAAUAUGAGUUGAUAGGGUUUGUGGCUUCAUAAUAUAAUUUCUACUAUUUUUCUUGACAUAUGUGUUAAACUUUCCCAUUAAUUCCACCUGCAAGCUCUUCCGUAAUUUCAAUGCUCCCACAACUUUUAGUACUUUUACCAUGGCUGCAAACGGAUCAUUGAAAUGAGAAUAUGAGUUGAAGUGUAAAUUGCAUAAAGUAGUAAUUAAAAUGUACAUAUGUAGACAAAAAGUUAGAAAUGAAAUAGUCGUAUCAAAUUAGAUUGAAUCCAAAAGCUCAAUCAAGAUAAUAUCAAAUGUAAAAUUCCUUAUUGUGAUUUCGUUGCCAUGUUGAGCUGUAUAAAUUUCUUAUUGUUACCAAAAUCUAAAACAAAUCAACCCAUGUUCGUAGAACGUGGUACAUAAUAACUCAUUUAUUGCAUAAUAAGGAUCCCUUGUUCAUUGGCAGAAAAUAUUAAAUAGAAAACGUAGUUAAUCCUUCUUUUGCAUAAUCUUUGAUAUGAGCUCUCAAUUUGGAUUAGAGAGGAAAGCAUGCAAUUCUAUAAAGUGCUCUCAAACAUUAACAACCAAUCUGGUAUGAAUUUCGAAAAUCUCAUGUAACAAACUUUAUAGGGUAAAUUACAUAGUAGCCCCUCAGGUUUAAGGUUUCUUACAACCCCAUACAACAUCUUUAAAACAUUUUACUUUCAUACCUCAUGUACUAUUUUAUUUCAAAAUAAUACCUCCGUUACAUUUUCCAUCCAUUAAUCCGUUAAGUGCUUACGUGGCUACCACUUUGUGCCACGUGGCAAAAUAAUUUUUUUUAAUUUUAAAUUUUUUUUUUAAAAAAAACCUAAAUCUUCUUUUAAAAAAAAUAAAAACCAACAGCUGAGAGAAAUCACCCACCCCCGUGAACCCCCCAAACCAGAAGCCCAGAAAGAAAAUCCAUCUCCCCCUGGGCGAUCCACUUCACCCAGAAAAACCAACCCCCUCCCUCGCAAAACCCCCAGGACGCUCCCUCACCCGCAAAACCCCUUCCUGUGACCCACCUCACCCAGAAACCCACAUCCCUUCCUUUGUACCCACCCUUUUCCCUCCUCUAUACACCCCCACUCCUUAAAUCCACACCCAUUCCUCCCACCUCACGAAACCAGUGAUGACGGGAUAUGGGUUUUUUUUUUUGGGUGAUAGGAGCAUAUUUAUACGCCGUAGUUAGCUAGUUCUUAUGCAUUUUCGUUAUGUUUUCUUAGUUUAAGUAGUCUUUUAAGCUAGUUUUAUGUGUUUUCAGGUUUUAAGGGCAAAGCAUAUAAAAAGAUGUAUUUUGGAGCCUUUUGGAGCAAAAUGGAGCUUGGAAUGAAUGUCACAUAUUUGGAGCCAAAGGUUUGGACGAAUUUGAAGACUUGAAGAUGAUGAUUCCUACUUGAACAAGGUUUCCUAGUUGAAGUAGGAAAGUGCUUACAUGAAGAAGGAUUCCUAAUCGACGAAGGAUUCCUAGUUGAAGAUGGAUUCAUAGAAGAAUGAAGAUUCCUACUCAAACAAGGUUUCCUGCUUGAAGUAGGAAAGUUAAACCUAAUUGGCCUUGAGUUUCAACAACAAAUAAGUUUUCCAAGUCAAAGAAGGAAAAGGAAUCCAAAAAGAAGAAGGAUUGAUCAAGACAAGCUUUCCUAUUCCUAAUGUGCAAAGGUUUUAGCUACAAAGAGGAGUCCUAAACACUUUAGGACACCUUAGCCUUAUCCUAGAGGAGUGCCUCACCAAUUUCAGCAAAGAGAUCUAUUUUCCUUACCUUAGCCUUAUCCUAGAGGAGUGCCGCACCAAUUUCAGCAAGGAGAUCUAUUUUCCUUGCCUUGCAAGGCUUUCUAGAAGCCUUAUCCAUUGUUUCCCUUUGCUGCCGCAACUAUUGGACCUUUUCCCCUUUUAAUUCUGAUUUCUAAGCCUUUUUCCUUGUGGAUUUGGGUUAUCCAAGUCCAUAUCUGAUUACCCUAGGGUUUUAAGUGCUUAUAUAUACUCUCAUUCACUCCUUGGCUGAAUUACGACCUCCCAUAUACAUCAUUCACGCCAGAAACAUACACCCACUCUUUGCCGCAGCCUUCCACCACCAUUCUCUCUAAUUCCAACCAAAAAUCAUCCCUUGCCGCACCAACCAUCAACCCUAACCACUACCACACUCUCCCCCAUCCAUUAUACACCAUUUAAUAACCCAAAACCUGUCCACAAACUCUCUGCCGCAGCAAAGAGGAAGGAGGAACUUCGUGGAUGCACUUGCUGUCCAAGUUGGAGUAUCUAGAUGUUUUCUUUCCUUGGAUUUCAAUGUUUAAACUUAUUUAUCUUUGCUUUGUGCGUAUGAGGAACUAAACCCCCCCUUGGCUAGGGGGGAUUUGAAACCAUGUUUAUGCUUGCUAUAUGAUUUGAUUAUUUCUAAUUGCGUUUCAUAAAUUGUGAAUUCAAUUUACUUAUCUAUAUGAAUUAAGACUGAUUUGUGUGUGUUGGUUGAGAGUGCACGCUUAAUUUUCAUGCAUAAGUUUGAUGCUAGGGUAUAAGAGAGUUUCACCUAAUCGUUAUGAACUUAUAUUCGCAAGUAGUAAAGGUUGUUGAUCACAAUCGUGUUAAGUAAAUUCUUGGCAUAAGUUUCAUGCAAUUCAUAGUAACAAGUGCCUCGCCAAUGCUUAUGGUUUUCAUAGAACUUAAUGAUCUUUGCUUGUAUCUUUGUUAUGCAAUUCAUGCAGGGAAAUUGUGAGGAAUGCUUUGGGUUGUCGUAUGCAAUUCAUCCAAUUCGAUAACUUUAGGAAAAUCUGAGGGUUAAUUAGUGCAAUUCACGAUUAAUCUGGGGCAUUGGGAAUUCAUGGUUUAUUGAGAAGCAAUUGGGAAUCGUUUUGUAUGCAAGUGUGACAUGUGUGGAGAAGAACCCCUUAGCUAGCUUUCCACCCAUUCACUUUAACCAAAUUCGUUUUAAAAUCUGUUUAGUUUACAAAGUUUCUGUUUGUUUUCAAUUUUCGUUAAAACCAAUUCCCCAUUUAUUUUAAAGUGUUAGAUUAGCUAGAAAUCAAUUUAGUUUGUGUUUUUAAGUGUCUUGAGUCAAGUUAUAACCUAUUUUCGUCCAAAUUGUGUUUUGUGUUCAAAACUGCCCAGAAAGUGUUUUUAAGGCAGUUUUAAGUGUUUCUGGGCUGUUUUGAGUCUUUUGGUUUGUUUUAGUGUUUUAGAGUUUAGUUUUGCAUUCUUUGAGUCUAGUUUAGUGUUUUAAACUUUGGUUUUACGUUUUGAGUCAGUUUUCAAGUGAUUUAGCAAUCCCUCAUAAUCCCCGGCCUAGAACGAUCCCUACUUACAUACUUUGCUACAAUUGAUAAAAAGAGGGUUUAAUUUGUGUGCUUAUAUAUUUUGCAUCACUAGGUUGCAGGGGAAGAAGAUAAAGAUGGGGGAAAAGACAAGAGGAGGAGGAGAAAGGGUGGGGAAGACGAAUUGAAGGGCUUUUUCUUUGUCUGGAUUGCAGGGGGAAGAAGAUGAAGAUGGGGGAGAGGAGAGGAGAGGUUUCUGGGUUUGGGGAUUGCGGGGAGAAUAUAGGAGGAAGAGGGGGAUAAGGUUUCAGUUUUUUUUUUUUUUUUAAUUUAGAAGAUUUAGCUUUUUUUAAAAAAAAAUUAAAAAAAAAAAAUUUUGCCACGUGACACACAUUUGGCAACCACGUGGCACAAAUGUGGCAGCCAUAUCAGCACUUAACGGAUCAAUAGAUGGAAAAUAUAACGGAUGUAUUAUUUUGAAAUAAAAUAGUAGUGAGGUAUGAAAGUGAAAUGUUUUAAAAAUGUUGUAUAGGGUUGUAAUAGACCUUAAACCUGAGGGGCUACUAUGUAAUUAACCCAACUUUAUAUUAAUUGGAAAAACCUCCAUAAAUGAAACCGAUGAUGAAAGAAGGACAAAUAUAAAAGGGAGGUUUCCAAUUUCCAAGUCUUAAAAGAGCAACAUAAUUAGCUGUUGUUGUGACAAAAAUGUCCACACCUUCAAAAAUGAUUACUAAAUUUUUUUUCUUGAUAUACUAACAAAAACAAAGAAUAACAUAUGCACACACAUCCUUGAGAAUAAUGAACAACCUUUAGAUAGUAAUUUCAUUAAAGAUAUAGGAUAACAUAUUUCGUUUUUCGCACUUUGCAAGAAGAUCACAUAAGGAAAUAUUUGUCUUCCUGCAUGCAUUGCAUAAGAGCCAUAAAUAAAUGACUUACAUAAAAUGAAGAUUGAGAAUGGAGCAAAAAAAAACAGAAAGAUAAAACAACCAAAACAGAGAAUGGAGCAAUUAUUUUCAAAUUGCAUACCAAUUGAUUGCCUGGAAGAAUAUUUCUGAUCUCUCUCUAUCUACUUCCCUCUCCAUGUAUUUGUAGCAAUUGAUUGGACACCUUCCACAAAGAAACCACACAUCAUUAGCUGAUUUUUUCAGUGAAACAAUUUGAUUGAUGCAAAAACCAAAAUGGAAUACCUCAUAAAAAUAAAAUACCAAUCAAACAUUCAAGAGAAAGGAGACACAGAAAGGGAGAAUUCUCGACUUUAGGAGUGUGCUUGAAAUGUUGUAAAGCCCUGAAACUGGUACAAUUUAAAGUUUAAGUUCGUAUGAUUAUAUUUCUAUAUAAUAGCAUCAAAAAUGGACUAAAGUGUAGAAUAUCAAUAUCAAUUUAAUUAUUAACCAAAUCUCAAUAACUAUAAAAGUAAAUCAAAGAAGAAAAAAGCACAUAUCAUGCCCAUGCAUGUACGUUUGCUUCUGCACAUGAAAAAGGAAUACAAAUGAAAAGAAUACACAUAUGAAUAAAAUUAGACAUCUAUAUACAUUUACCAUCCUGACCACUAUGAAAAAUCUUCCUCGUAGCCAAAGUCAUAGAUUGCAAAACCACGCUUCUUCAAACAUUAUUUUAACAAUAAUUAGGGGCUAUGGUCAUAAGAAAAAAUAGAAUGUUCAAAAGACAUAAAAGUGGAGAUUUACCUAUUAGAACUGAAAUUAGUGCAAAAGGUUUGAAAAUUACCCAAUUAGAUACUGAAAAAGACAAAGAUGAGAUGGAGUGUGAAGGUAAAAUUAAGAUUGGCAACAAUUAACAAAUUCCUCCCUUCAAUCUUUGGAUAGUGUUCCUUGUUGGAUUGUUUUUUCUGAGAGACAAAUAAAACAAUAACUGUCACAGGCGUUUGACAAUUACCAAAUCUCCUCAUUUGCCUAGCAUUUAGAAAGGAAUUCAUAAAUAAAAACAUAAUUGACGUACAUCUUACAUCAUUAAUGUGUGGGUUUUUUCAAGUCUGGUUGAGCAAACUAUGUCAGUCUUAACUAAUUAAACUAUGUCAAUCUUCUCGCAAGAAAUAGGCAUGGAUGCAAUGUAAUUGUGUUUCCAUGAAUUUUACACAUGGUAUAACCUAUAUCUGAUUUCCUUGGAAGCCUGACCGCCUUUGCCGGCUAAAUCUCUGUCGUCAGCACAAUCAUCGUCGGCGUAAACCAAUCUGGGCUGUUUAUUUAGAGGCAUGUACACGUCUUUGUGGUAGAUCAGCGUCAACUACUUCUCCAAGUCCAUUGUAUAUGACAGAAAAGCGAAGUGGUAAGAUUAGAAAAAAAAUGUCGUACUCAGUGCACAAGGCUCCCGCUUUAAGCAGGGUCUGGGAGAGGUGAAUGUCGACUAGCCUUACCUCCAUUUAUGAAGUGGUAAGAUUAGAAGAAAAAAAAAAAAACCGUACAUGCACAAUUUUUUGCUGCAAUUAAAGGAUUGACAGAACAAUUGGAAAAAUAACAAAAAGAGAGAAUGAAAAGUACAUGUUAGAAUUGGGGUUAGACUCCUCCGUUGAAAAGUAAAAAAAAAAAAAUAUUCGGAAAUACAUCCGAAUUUAAGAUCAUACCCCAAAAAAAGGAAAAGAAGGUGAGAUAUUUGAUGAUACAUGCAAUGUUUUUCUGGAUUCAUGAUUUUCUUGGCAUGCAAUUUGUUAAUUUGUAUGGGAAAAUUGACUGAUGAAGGCAGAAGAGCCUUUUGGAGUUGUAGAAAACAACUCACCAAAAGAACAUCUGUUACAAUGAAGCAAAAGCAAAAAUGGAGUUUCUGUAAUAGAAGCAGAGGAUUACGGUGCCGAACUGCCGAUGGGUGAAUGUUGGGGGUGGAUGGAGAAGCAAAUCUGAAAAGGUUGAAAUUGAACAUUCCAAUCUCCUUUUCAGAACAUGGGUCGUACAUGGAGACGGCAGUUUCCAUCGUUAGAUCCUUGCAACUGCCGUUUUCCUCGUCCAGUCCUUUUUUUGUUUUUUUUUUUAAUAUAUCAUGUUUGGGAUCACUAAACUAAGGGGCCAAAUUCAUUGAUGAAAUUUAUGAUGAAUAUGCGAGGGUGGGUGUGAUUCAUCCAACCAAUAGUAACAAUCUUUGCUAGUGUGUGUAAACAGUAUCCCUCAGGCAACCAUUUCCCAUAAGUGUUGUGUUUCAUUUUUACUAUUUUACCCCUAUUAUAAGCGGUUAGUUUUGAGUUAUCUCUCUCAUUAAAUGAGGAUAUUUUUGGUAUAUUUAAAUGCUUCACCAAACUGAGGCUCUCACUUUAUAUAUAUAUAUAUAUAUAUAACAUAAUAUUUUGAAAUAUGGGUUGGAGUACAUAUUUUAUCAAUAUGUCAAAUUGUCAUGUAAGCUAUUAAAUUUUAGGGACUUUUAGAUCUAGGACCAAAAAUAUCGAUGGUUUUUAGGAGUGAUUCCAGUUAUCAAAUUACAUGUUUUUAUUUCUUUUAUACUCUUUUUUUAUAUUUUCUAAAAAUAUUAAAAAUCAAUUAAAAUCUUCAAAUAUCUUAUAACAAAAAAACUAAUAUACUAACAUAAAUCUAUCUACAAAACAUUCUACCUUAACUCAAGUAACAAAAAUAUGAAUAUAUAUAUAUAUAUAUAUAUAUAUUGUGCCUAUAAAUAAAAUAUGAAACCUAAGUAAAAGGUAGAAAAAACAUAAUAUACCUACAAGUAAGACACAUUAAUUAUAAAUUACACAAAAUCACCUCAAAUUUAGGUCACAUAACAAACUCAUACCUUAUCAUUUGAACAUUGCAAUGUCAUACGUCAAUUUAUGAAUUCGUUCCAAUGUCGUACCUUCGUCAGUCAAACCAUCUAGCUAACUGUUAAGUGAUGACGUGACAAGUCUAUGACCUAUAUUUUUGGUGAUGUGGCAGUUAACUGUUGUCACAUCCCGCCCCGAGCCCUUACCACAUCCCAGGCUUGACUCCACCGUAGCACGAUAUUGUCCGCUUUGGGCCUCGACCACGCCCUCACAAUUUUGUUUCUGGGAACUCACACGAGAACUUCUCAGUGGGUCACCCAUCAUGGGAUUGCUCUCGCGUGAACUCGCUUAACUUUGAAGUUCCUACGGAACCCGAAGCCAGUGAGCUCCAAAAAGGCCUUGUGCUAGGUAGAGAUGAGAAUAUACAUAUAAGCCUUACAGGAUGCUCACCCCUGGGCAAUGUGGGAUCUUACAAUCCACCCCCUUAGGGGCCCGAUGUCCUCGUCGGCAUACUUCGAGCCAGGGAGUAGCACGAUAUUGUCCGCUUUGGACCCUGACCACGCCCUCACGGUUUUGUUUCUGGGAACUCACACGAGAACUUCCCAAUGGAUCACCCAUCAUCGGAUUACUCUCGCGCAAACUCGCUUAACUUCGGAGUUCAUACAGAACCCGAAGUCAGUGAACUCCCAAAAUGCCUCGUGCUAGGUAGCGAUGGGAAUAUACAUAUAAGGCUUACAGGAUCCUCACCCCUGAGCGAUGUGGGAUCUUACAAUUGUCGCCCUCCUUCCCUGCCCCACCAGCUCCCGCUCUCUCGUGGGCUACAUAGGAAUACGUGUAAAUUGCUUUUCCCUUUCCGCCGUGAAACCCCGAUACGCAGCUACACAAUUCAUACACCUUGAAGUCGGGACCGAGACAAUGGAACCGUAUGACCCCAUUUCCGUUUGCGACGUAUUGCGCAUUCUCCUCCUCGUACUGGGCCCCGCCUUUGGACUCGACCUAGAACCUGCCUUCACGAACUCCCUGUACUCCUUGAACUGGGCAACUAUCUUAGACAUGUUCUAAAUGGGUCGGGCUCGAAACGGGGUUCGGGUGUUGUCGGCCGACUAACGUGUUUGGGUUUGGACCGCUUUGGCGACAGCGGUGGCGGCUGUCGGUUUUCUGGGUUUUGUCGUGUUGGUGCGUGGGGAGGAAGAAGGAUGGAUAGGCAGGGUUUGGCUAGGUGGGUGGAGAAUAAGGGGGUGGGUCCUAUUUUUUAUUUUUUUGUUUGUUUAUUAUUUAUUUAUUUUUAUUAAUAGAAGGAGUGGGCCCCUUUUUUAUUUUUUUUUAUUAAUAGGAACGAACCCUACUUGCCACAUAAUCAUUUAAUUAUCAAAUUAACAGAAAAAUUAGCAAAGGUCUGUCAUUGCAAGAAAUUCUAGGAUGAGGUAUGACAUUGCAACAAAUUCGAAGAUGAGGUAUGAUAUUGCAAUGUUUAAAAGAUGUAUGAGAUUGUGGUUCGACUUAUGAUUGAGGUAGUUUUGUGUAAUUAUUCCUAAACAUAAUUAACGUGUGAUAAAAGUUGAUUAUAAAAAUUAAUAAAUGGGGUUUAAAGCAGUACGAAGAACAAGAAAUAACAAAACAAUAAAUUAAAAAAAAAUAAUCAAAGAGAUAAUUAGGAAUAAAUUUGAUUUUUAUAAUAAAUCAUAACAUUGAAGAGAUAAUUAUUGAUAAUAAAAUAAUUAAACUUAAGGAAUUAGACUUAUUUUAAUAAAUUGGACUAUUCUAUUGGCUCAAAAAAUUUGACUUAUAUCAAGCUUUCUGUAAUUGGAGAUACUCUAAUUGGCUGAGCAACCAAUUAGUUUAUUCUAAUUUAACAUCUCUUUUAGAGAUACUCUAAUUAGUUGAGCAACCAAUAAGUUUACCAUGCAACGAGAACAACAUACAUUUAACAACUUCAACAUUUUAGAAUGUCUCGUACCAUUAAUAGGCUAUGUAGAAAAAAAAUAAACACAUAACAUAUUAUUCAACCGAGACACCACGUGACAGUGAACUCACGGUAUAUAAAUAUUUAUUCCUUACAACAUUCUUUUUUUUUAUCGAUAGUUACUCUAUUGCUCCAACAUGUAGGCCUCCAAUAUUCUAAAACUAGCACGGAUAGACGUUAUUCUAGAUUAGAUCCAAGUGGUUCUACAACCUAUUAGUUGAGAAAAUGUGUUCGUUUAAUAAGGCAGUUAGAGAUCUUAGGUUCAAUUCUUGCCAAAGUUAAAGUUGAACCACAUUAUUAUGGCAAGCUCAUUGUAAGGCUUAGUCCACUCCACCCCCUUAGUGUAGAUACUAUCGUCUGUUAAAAUAAGUUAGAGGGUGUGAAGAACUUAAAAUUUCAUUGUGUUGUGACUUAUUUUAAUCUGACAAGGGAGAGAGGGCCGGUGGCACAGAGAGAGAAUAGAGAGAGAUGUGUUUGUAAGAUUGUGUAGAGGAUGUGUUAUUCCCCAUACGUAGUGCCUUUAUUUAUAGUAAUAAGGAAGAGAAGAAUCAUUCUCCUCUAAGGAAUACAAGUCCUAAUAGGGAAAAAUAACUAGAUCAAAUCUAAUCUAGGAUUUACACAAUCACACUUAAAUAAGAAGUUUAUAACACUCCCCCCUUGAGUAGACCCAGUAGUUUCUGACACGAAACGAAAAUGACACGAAAAUAACGGGUUUCGGGUCAACACGAUAACUAACCGGGUCAUUAUCGGGUGACCCGUUAAGACUCGUUAAUAACAGGUUCUUAACGGGUGUACACGUGGGUAACCCAUUUCGACCCAUUAAGAAAAUAAUCAUUUUGAUAAUUUUAAAGUUUAAUUACUAAAAGAUUUAUUAUAAAAUAAAAUAGCCAUAUUCAUAUAUACAAUAUAUUCUAUUUAAAUAUGUAGUUUUGUAUUAUUAUUCUAUAUAAGUUUUAAAAAAAAAGUUUUAGUCAUUAUUUAUUUUUAUUAUGAGAGUUCCUUAUUAUCAUUACUAGGAUAAAUUUUACUUAACAUGUUGUUGUCCAAAAUUAAAAUAAACUAGUAUAGUAUUUGUAUAGGGAAGAAAUAAGAAGACAUACAUACAAGUAUGAAAAAUGUGAAAGAAUAUAUAAACACUUGUAAUUCAUCAUUAUUCCUCCACAAGUAGAUAAUGGUUACACUUACAUUAUCGUUUAGAUUUUUAAAAUCCUCCAAACCCUCAUGAAUAAUGUUUUUUAUUUGAGGGAAAAAUUAAUAAAAUUAAUAAAAAUUAUUGUAGAAGUGCAAAAAAUGUAUAAAUAUAUAUAUAUAUACAAUCACUCAUAGUGACAAGCUUCAAAAUCCAACACUAUAAUCCAUAAACCUUAAAUUUAUAUUUAACCGUCGAUUGUCAUUUACGCUUUAUUCUUCUUACUAAAUUUCAUUUUUUAAAUUUUCUUUUUUGAAAACAUGAUCAUUUGGCAGAUGUAAGAAGAUGAACGGUUCAGAUCUUUAAUAUCAUAUUUCGAUAUUUACGGUUAACUGAAAUAUAAGUUGAUGUCAUAUAGUUUAUAGAAACUUUAUAAACAUCAAGCAAUAUUUUCACUAAUCGUAAAACUCUGAACAUAAUAUCAACGAUCCAAACUGUUCAUCUUCCUGCAUCCUUUAAUAGAUAAUGUUUUCAAAAAAGAAAAUCUGAAAAAACAAAAUUUGAUGAGAAAAAUGAAGCGUAAAUGUAAACAACAAUCAACGAUUAAAUUUUGAUCUAUGAUUUAUAUGAUUAUAGUGGCGAAUUUCGAAGUUAAGCUCUUCACGAAAGUUGUAAAGCUUGUCAUUACGAGCAUUUAUAUAUUUUUUUCUAUAUUUUGUACACUUCUAAAUUAAUUAAAAAACUAUUAAAGACUUUACUUAAAUAACAGUCGCAAGAUAAAUGAGAGUAAAUUUGUACCGUUGGAUUCUAUUUCACUUAUAUUAUUAGAACUGUUUUGGAUGAAAAAGCCCCUUGUCUAUUCCAUUAUUUUCCAAUUUUACCAUUUGAUCAAAACAAAAGCUCCAAUCCCUUUCUCUCUCCCCACUCUCGUAACCUUCUCUCCUGAUCCCGCCAUCUGUUCUUCCUAGCCCUUCUCUCCCGCCGUAUGUUCAGUUUUUCCGGUAACCUCUGUCAGUCCUUCUUUUCUCCUCCCUCGUGUAGUGGACAAGGCUCUUGCUGUAGUUAAAGCAUUGGAAGGAAAGGUCAGUUCUUAUUUGGUUGAAACACAUUGAUUUUUUGUUUCUUAGACCUAUUUGGACCGAUUAGUUACAAAUCUUGUGCUAAUUUUCAGUUUAAUGUUGGGUAUUUAACUAUUUGUUUUUAUUUUAUUGAUAGAUAUUCCUUUAUACAGUGAUUUUCAUUUUUCUUAACUAUGAAUUUAGUGGAUUCAGUAAUUUGUUUCUGAUUUCUAAACUCUUCUACUUCUGCAGAGUUUGCAUUCAUUUUAUUUGUUUCCAUUUCUUUGUAUACAAUGUUCAAGGAAAAGUUAAUUAUAGGCAGUUGAAAGCUUGAAAUGUUUAUUUUUUUGCUGAAAGUUUUUGUUUAGCUGCAGUUAUUAUAAUUCGUAUCUUUUCUUAUAUGCCUGAUACAUUUUAUCUACUUUUGGAUGUGACAAUAUGGUAUGUAUAUACUUUUUUAGUAUUAUAUUUUUCAUUUGAUUAUUUAUUGGUUUAAAAUAUAUUUUCCUUAACGGGUAAUGGGUCGGGUCAUAUUACCUGUAAAUAUUAUCGGGUCGAUUUCGGGUCGGGUCAUUUUACCCGUUUAUUUUAACGGGUGUUACAUGACACGACCCGUUAAGAUAUCAGGUAUGACACGAAAACGAUAGGAACACAGAAGACAUGACACGAAUGUCAAGUCUACCCUUGAGUGUGUAAAUACUCAAGUAGAUUCGGCAUCAUGUAAAGUUGAGGAAGUUGACUCGUUGGCUCUGAUUCUGGGAACACGCUAGUUUCAAAGUAAAGUAGGAACUUGCAUAUGGAACUAAGUCUCACAAAAAACCCAACGGCUAUGGUAAAACCCAAGUAGGGACAAAAUCCAUAGUCUAUGGAAAAAUGCAUGAGAAAUGCAAAGUCAAAUGAAAUGUCUACGGGACGUCAUUAGUGAUAUGAUCAACCUAAGGUGAGUGCCUCAUCAAAACCUCGUUAGGUAGCAAAACCCCAAUGGGAAAAAUGCUCCUAAUCGUAGGGAAAAAGAGUACAUUAAGAUCAAGCAAGUAUACUUUAGGAUACUACCCCUGAGUUCGACAUAACUCCAAAGAGAACUAACAAUGUUACAACUCAUAAAGUUUAUGGAUACCUAUUCCUAAAACAAGCUUUGAAACGUCUCAUUCGGUAGUCAUUUGAUGAACUGGUCGACCUGAUUGUCUUAUGAAUAGAUUUGCGUGACUUCAAUCUUCAGGUGCUCUUGCUGUUGAUGUGAGAAUAAGAACUUCGACGUAAUGUGGUUGGUGUUAUCUCCUUUGAUGUAACUCUUAUUGAGCUGUUCGAUGCAUGCUACAUUGUCUUCAUAGAUCGUCGUCAGGAUGUCAACGACUAGGUAAAGAUUGCAGGAGCUUUUAAUAUGGCCUACAACUGCUCUUAACCAAAAGCAUUCCUGAGUUGCUUCAUGUAAGGCUAGAAUUUCAGCAUGGUUAGACGAAGUGGCAACUAAGGUCUGUUUAGUUGACCUCCAAGAGAUUGCGGUGCCUCCAACGGUAAAGAUAUAGCCCGUUUCAUAAUAUACCUUGUGUGGAUCAUAUAAGUAUCCUGCAUUGGCAUAACCAACAAGGUGAAAAUCGACUCGAGAUAAGGUGGGUGCGGCAACACUCGAGGAUCCGUAGGGAUGGAACAAGCCCAUAUCUGUAGUACCUUUACGGUAAUAGAAGAUGUCUUUAACACCAGCUCAGUGUCUCCGUGUUGGUGCAUUACUGUAUCUUGCCAAAAGAUUAACUGCGAAGGAGAUGUCAAGUUUAGUGCAUUAAGCUAAGUACAAUAAAGCGCCUAUCGCACUUAGAUAAGGAACUUCAGGCUCCAAAAUCUCUUCAUCAUCUUUUUUCGGAUAGAAGGGAUCUCAUUUUGCAUCUAGCGAAAGAACGACCAUAUGAGUACUUGAAGGCUUCGUUUUAUCCUCGUUAAAGUCGUGCAACACCUUUUGGGUGUAGUUCGAUUGAUGUACUAAGAUUCCAUCCGAACAAUGCUCUAUCUCGAGACCUAGACAGUAUCAAGUCUUUCCUAGAUCUUUUGUCUCAAAUUUCAACUUAAGGUGUGAAGUAGUUCUAUCGAGCUCUUCAGGAGUUCCAAUGAGGCUCAUGUCGUCGACAUAAAUUGCAACUAUCACAAAAGUGGAAUAUGACUUCUUAAUGAACACACAAGGGCAUAGUUCAUUGUUCACAUAUCCAUGACUAGUCAAAUACUAACUCAAAUGGUCAUACCAAAUUCUUUCAGAUUGCUUUAAACUGUAAAGUGAACGCCUCAGCCGAAUUGAAAGCGUGUUCCAGGGUUUGGAAAUAUUUGAUCCAGUCAAUGUAAGUCCUUCGGGAACUUUCAUAUAAAUUUUCAUAUCAAGAUCCCUAUAAAGAUACACAGUUACUACGUCCAUCAGCUGCAUGCUCAGUUUUUUUCGGAAACUACCAAACUAAUAAGGUAGCGAAAAGUAAUCACAUCCGUAACGGGUGAAUAGGUUUAGUCAUAGUCAAUCUGUGGGUGUUGUGAGAAGCCUUGCGCAACAAGUCGAGCUUUGUAACACAUAAUUUCAUUAUUUUCAUUAUGCUUCCGAACGAAAAAUCCACUUGUAGCCAAUCGGCUUCACAUGUGGAAGAGUAUGAGCUACAGGUCCAAACACCUUAUGUUUCGCAAACGAAUCAAGUUCAACUUGGAUUAUUUGUUUCCAGUUUGACUAAUCAGUUCUACGUCGACAUUCAUCAACAAAACGGGGUUCAAUGUUAGGGAUCUUAACAUUAUCUUAAUAGCUAUUGCAUAUGCUAAUGCAUAGUUGAUGAUCAUCUCAUUUCUACACCAAACAUCAUCCAAGCUAGCAUAAUGGAUCAAAAUUUCUCGAUUGUCAGGAGGUGGAUUUGUCUCUUCAAAGACGCUUCCAUAAUCUAGAAUUUCAUCAUGAGUUGGAUAGAAUGAGUAUGUGACAACCAAACUCACGGUAGGCUCAGGAGGAGCCUAUGCCAUGGGUUACCUCUUUCAGGGGUGUGAAUACUUUGAACCAACUAGUCUGCCACUCUUAUGUGUAGUGGUAGAGGAUUACUAGCCGUUAAUGUACGUGGAUCGACCAAAGUAGCGUCAUGGGCCUUCAAGAGGGAAAUAUGUCGUACAUUUGGUACAUCUAUCUUUGCAGGAACAUUCGCAAGUGGAAUAUAUGAUCUUGUCACUAGCACUAGAUCGGUGAAAGCAUCUGGCAUACUCUGAGCUACACUUUGAAGAUCUAAUAUGCAAUGCACUUCAGUUUCAAACUGAGCGGUGCGGGGAUCUAAGUGAGACAAAGUGAGAGUCGUCCACCAUAAUUUGCCUCAUUCUUUAGGAACGGUGAUGUUUUUAUCUCCCCCUAACGAUGGGACGGUUGUCUCAUAGAAGUGACAAUCUGCAAAACAAGCGGUAAACAAAUCACUUGUCAAAGGUUCUAAGUAACGAAUGAUUCAAGGAGAAUCAUAUCCGACAUAGAUUCCCAUCCUUUGUUGAGGCCCUAUUUUUCUAUGUAAGGGCCGCAAAAUCGGCUCAUAGACCGUGUAACAAAAAACACGCAAAUGUGAUAUGUUGGGUUUGUAUCCAAUAACCAACUGAAUGACGUUAUAUGGUUGGGUCGCAACAGACCUCAGGCGAACCAACAUAGCUGCGUGCAAUAUUGCAUGGCCCCUAACAGUGAUCGAGAGCUUUGUACGUAUGACCAACAAAAAAGCAAUCAUUUGUAAACGCUUAAUGAAUGCCUCUGCCAGGCCAUUAUGGGUAUGAACAUGGGGUACUAUAUGUUCAAUUUCAACCCCAACUGACAUGCAAUAGUCAUCAAAAGUUUUAGAUGUGAAUUCUCCAGCAUUAUCCAAUCGAAUAGAUUUGAUCGAAUAAUCAGGAUGGUGAGCCCUAAGCUUGAUAACCUGAGCCAACAGUUUGGAAAGUGCCGCGCUCCUUGUGGACAACAAGCACACGUGUGACCAACAUGUGGAAGCGUCAACCAAUACCAUAAAAUAUCUAAAUGGUUCGCAUGGAGGGAAAAUCAAUCCAAAAAUGUCCUCUUGAAUCCUUUGUAAAAAGGUAGAAGGAUUCAAACGAAUCUUGUCAUAAGAAGGCUUAAUAAUAAGCUUUCCCAUGGAGCAAGUUUGACAUACGAUUCCUUGAAUCGAACCUAAACUUCAGGUUAGUGCAUGCUCGUGUGAUGAUUUGAGGAUACAGUGCAUCACUGUUCAUCCAGGGUGUCCCAAACGAUCAUGCCAAAGUGUAAUUUCAUGCGCAGUCCCAGAGGUAGGGCCUACCACAUAAUGGCUCUUAAUAGGGCACAUGGUCGUAGUAUACGGACCACUCGGGAUACACUCCAUCUUCUCUAGAAUAUGUUUCCAGCUAUAUUCGUAUGAAGUUAUGCACAGAAAUUCAACUUCGUUUUCUACAUCAAUAACGUUCUUCCGAAAAGUGGAGAAUAAAGUGCCUGAUCAAUGGUCAAGAUUAUACCAUUGGAUAACAUUAUACGUGCAUUACUAUAUCCUUCAAUCAGGUUGGAUAGGCUUGAAAGAGUUGUCAGAGGUGCAUUCUUAGGUAUGAAGUCAGUGAAAUAGAUACGUUCACGCAAAACAAUGUGCAUGGUUACACUAUCUGCCAGACAACUAACUUUCCCACUAGUCAUACCUAGAAAUAAAAAUUAAUUUGAAUGGUCAUGUGCAUAAAAGUUCUUAAAACAAGUAUCCAUUCAAAAUAAUUUAAGUAUUCAAAGAUGGUAAUUAAAAACUUAAUAUCCAAAAACAAAUCACCAACAAAUAAUCCAAACAUAAAGAAAAAUUGUUCAAACUUAAACAAAAAAACAAAAGGGGGGUUCGGCCCCUAUGUGGAAUUCGGCCCCCAAGGUUCUAAAUGCAAUUAAAAAUAGUUUAUGUCUAAGAUUCUAAUCUUCCAUAGGGGUAACAGCCUCUGGAAAGUCAGAAACAUCCAUCUUGGUACUCUCCGGUUCAUCCACUUACAUAAAAUUUGAUUCAAACUUCUUAUGACGAGAAUGAUAUUCAACUACAACCUUUUGGAAAGCACGGAAAACACUGGACCAAUGUUCCUUUGAACCACAACAGUAGCACAUGUUCGUAUCCAUGGUUUUAGGUGCUUUGCCCUUAUUCUUGAAGUUUGGGGCCUUGGGAGGGAGUGAUAGGAGCAUAUUUAUGCGACUUAAUUGUCUUGUUCUUGUGCGUUUACAUUGUGUUUCCUUAGUUAUUUUAGUGUUUAAAGCCAUUUUCAUUUGUUUGUAGGUCUUAAUAACAACCUUGGCAAGAAAAGUGCAUUUUGGUGCAUGUUGGAUCAAUAUUGGGUUGAAAUGGAUUGCAUGCAUGAGGAUGGACGUUUUGGGCAUAUGUGUGUGCAUGUGUGUGUGUGCAAUUGCAAGGAUAAACAAUGACAACUCAUACACAUGCAAACACAUGGCAAAAGAGGGAGAAAACACAUGCAAAGACACCCACAUGCAAAGUGAAAACAAAACUCACGGAAAAGGAGAAGGAAUUGUGUGUGUUUUGUGGUUGAAAUGAUGAAGCAUGUGUGUGUAAAUGUAAAGGGGAAAACAUGGCAGCAAACACAUGGCAAAGAAAGCAAACACAUGGCAAAGAGAAGAACAUUGAAGCAACCACAUGGGAGCACACGGCAUAGGGCAGAAAAUGUGGGUGUUUGGUGCUUGAAAUGAUGAAGCAUGUGUGUGUAAAUGUAAAGGAAAAUAGGGCAGAAAAUGUGUGUGUGUUGUGGUUGAAAUGAUGAAGCAUGUGUGUGAAAAUGUAAAGAGGAAACAUGCCAACACACACCCACACAAGCUGCACAUGCAAAGGAAAUGGAGUGGUCCUCUCUCAAGCCUAUAAAUACCACCUCCCAUAUUCAUCAAAGAGACAACAGAUUUUCUCCUUGCUUUGGCCGAAACUUCCCACCACCAUUCUCUCUAAUUUCAGCCAAAAACCACCCCUAGCCACACCACCCAUCAAUCCUAAACCUUUCCAUACCAUUCCCCAUCCAUUCUACACCAUAAAAACCACCCAAAACCGUCCAAAACCUCUAGUGCCGCUGCUUGCAAGGAAGGAAAGAGAAGGAACAUCUUGUGCCGUGCCUAUGCCCAAGCCUUGGGAGUGUUGGAGCGUUUCUAGGUGUUUUCUAUCUUUGAUUUCAAUGUUUAAAUUAAGUUAUCUUUGUGUAAUUGCGAGUAUGAGGAACUAAACCCCCCUUGGCUAGGGGGGGAUUCAAAACCAUGUUUAUGCUUGCUAUAUGAUUUGAUUACUUCCAACUGCGUUUCAUGAAUUGUGAAUUUAAUUUACUUAUCUCUAUGAAUUAAAACUAAUUUGUGUAUGUUGGUUGAGAGUGCACGCUUAAUUUUCAUGCAUAAGUUUGAUGCUAGGAUAUAAGGAAGUUUCACCUAAUCGUUAUGAACUUAUAUUCAUAAGUAGUGAAGGUUGCUAGUCACAAUCACGUUAAGUAAAUUCUUGGCAUAAGUUUCAUGCAAUUCAUAGUAACGAGUGCCUCGUCAAUGCUUAUGUUUUUCAUAGAACUUAAUGAUUCUUGCGUGUAUCUCUAUUAUGCAAUUCAUGUAGGGAACUUGUAGGGAAUGUUUUGGGUUGUCGUAUGCAAUCAUCCAACCUAAUAACUUGUGGAAAAACUGAGGGUUAAUUAGUGCAAUUCACGGUUAAUUUAGGGCGUUGAGUAUUCAUGGUUUGUCAAAGAGCAAUUGGAAAUCAUUUUGUAUGCAAGUAUAACAUGUGUGGAGAAGAACCCCUUAGCUAGCUUCUCAUCCAUUCAAUUUGAUCAAUCUCGUUUUAAAACCUAUUUUGUUUUACAAAGUUCUUGUUUUGUUUUCAAAUUCGUCUAAAAUCAAUCCCCCUUUAUUUUGUUGAGUCAUAUUAGUUAGAAAUCAAUUUAGUGUUUUUAAGUGUCUUGAGUCAAGUUAUAACAUAUUUUCGUUCAAAUUCUUCCUUAGUGUUCAAAACUGCCCAGAUUGUGUUUUUAAGGCAGUUUUGAGUGUUUAGGUGCUGUUUUGAGUCUUUUGGUUUGUUUUAGUGUUUUAAAGUAUAGUUUUGCAUUCUUUGAGUCUAGUUUAGUGUUUUAAACUUUGUUUUUACGUUUUCAAGUCAGUUUCCAAGUGAUUUAGCAAUCCCUCCUAAUCCCCGGCCUAGAACGAUCCCUACUUACAUAUUUUACUACAAUUGAUAAAAGAGGGUUUAAUUUGUGUGCUUAUAUAUUUCGCAUCAGGGAGGUUCCUACCAUGUCUAUGUUGGAGUUUUGGGCGUUAGUUGUGCUAUAAUGUGCUUCAAGCACAACAAUCGCCCAAGUAGGUCGAGCUUGAUGAUUUUUCAUCAAUAGUUGAUUUUACUUUUCAGCGAAAAGUAAAGCAAAGAUCAAAUCCAAAAACUCAGUGAACUUCUGAGCCCUAUAUUGUUGCUGCAAGACAAUAUUGGUAGUAGAGAAGGACAAAUAGGUCUCUUCCAGAAGAUCCUUUUCGGUCAAGUUCUCGUUACAGUGAGAAGUGAUCGGAUUCGACAAACUUCAGAAUUACAUUCAUUCACAGACUUAAAGUCAUGGAAGCGCAAAUGUUGUCAAUCAUGUCUUGCUUCAGGCAAGAAGAUGUCCUUUUGGUGAUCAAAGCGAUCAGCCAAUGCAACCCGAAGUGCUCAUGGAUCUUCCUCAACAAGGUACUCUGUUUGCAGUGCAUCAUGAAUGUGUCUUCGGAUGAAGAUCAUCGCAGUGGCUUUCCCAGAUUCGUCAACCGAGUUGUCCAUCUUAUCUUCAAUGAUGGGAUGUAAAUUCUUUACGGUGAAGUGAAGUUUCCCAUCUUGGACCCAUUUGAGGUAGUUUCUUCCAGAGACCUCUAAAGUGGUGAAGUCGAGUUUGUUCAAAUUCGACAUGUCCCUAUCACAAAAUAAAUGGACAAGAAUGUGGUUAGUAUAGUGGAGAAAAAAUCAAUCCAUUCACAUAGGAGUAGAACAUUUAGGUUUUAAUAGACAUGUAUUGACUUAAAUUUACAUGAAAAAAAUUCUUUUUUUCAUCAAUAUGUUUUUAAGGAAAACUUCAGGUUUUCAAACAAGGCGUGUUUCUAGAAACUUUAGGUUUCGAUAGAAAUAUGAACUUCAGGUUCAUAUGUUCCUAUAGACAAACACAAAUAUAUAUAUAUAUAUAUAUAUAUAUAUAUAUAUAUAUUGGGCAGGUUUUCAAACAAGGCGUGUUUCUAGAAACUUUAGGUUUCGAUAGAAAUAUGAACUUCAGGUUCAUAUGUUCCUGUAGACAAACACAAAUAUAUAUAUAUAUAUAUAUAAUAUAUAUAUAUAUAUAUAUAUAUAUUCAUCAAUGAUGUUUUUAAGGAAAACUUCAGGUUUUCAAACAAGGCGUGUUUCUAGAAACUUUAGGUUUCGAUAGAAAUAUGAACUUCAGGUUCAUAUGUUCCUAUAGACAAACACAAAUAUAUAUAUAUAUAUACACACACACAGAAAUAAGCAACAAGAAAAUAUGCAAAUAGAUCUUCAAGUCUAAAAUUAUAAUUGAAUUAAUUAUUUGGACUCGGGCCAAAUUUAAAGUGCAGGUGAAAAAUUAUAAAACCCAAAUUGUCUAAAAAAAUAAACAAUUAAACUCGGGGGCCAAAAUAAGAGACCAAAGCCCAUGGGUGGGCUGAGCAAAUAUAUGUCGUGAGAUCUAGGCCCAAAAUUAGGCUGGAGUAGGCACGGGCUGAUCAGGCCAAAAAAAAAGUUUGGGCUACGAGCCCAGUAACAGCAAAUGGGCUGCAAAACAUAGGUCAAAAAACAAAGGCCCAUAUGGGCGCUAAUCAGGUGCGGUAGGGCUUUAAGCCCACAUGGAGGUAAGCUCAGGUGUUUCACGGUCCAGUGCAUCGAUGUUCCAACUUUGGGCUGGAAUCCGAUGCAACGCAGGUAAAUGAACCCAGGGAAGACGUAAUGUACUGCGUCACAGGAUGUAAGGACACCAUAUCCAUGGGCUGGUGUCGCAGGCUGAGUCCAACAGAGGCUCAAUUGGGCUUUGUGAUGCAAGCUGAGAGAAGCAAAGCCCAAGUGGGCUUGAGUUAAGUCCAAAACACCCCAGGUCAGAACUAGGUUGUGUCGCCGGAAAAAGAAAUCUGCGCCGCAUCUUCAGGUGGCUGGGUUUUAAGACAUGGUUCUCGGUGCAGGGUCGUGGGUUCGACGACAAGCCAAUUCCUAGUGACGGAGGGAGUACCUCGAUGUUGAAGGGAAGGAAAAAGGAAACCUAAAAACUUCAAACUUGAAUUUCACCCAAAUUCGAUGAAAUUAUUGUGGAAGUUCAAUGAUUUUGGUUCAAAAUCAUGACACCAUGUCGGAAUUUGCCAGAAAAUUGCACGGCAAGGUCGUGGUCUUACUGCAGACGAGUUAAGGUUUCUGGGUUGGACGCCAUCGACGUCUUUCCAGGUGGAGCUUGAUAGCUUCGUGGGUAGCUCGGGUCAUGGGUUCGAAGAACCCUAGGAAAUUAUUUUUAAUAACUUUUUUCUUUUGAUUUCCAAAUUAAUUCAAUGCAUAUUCAAUCAAAUAAUUCAAUGCAUGGACAUAUGAUGCAAUUCAUGGCAAUAUCAAUUUCACAUAAUUCAACAAUUAUGGAUAUAAUGCAUGCACAAUUGAUGUAGAAUCUAAAAUUCGAAAAACAUAAAGUUGGGUCAUGCAUUAUGGUGAAUGUUCAUGCUAUUAGGGCUGCAAAAAUAUCGAGAUAAAAAUUGUUGUUUUGAAAGAACAUGAUUGCAUUAUGAUAUUGAUGAACUGGUUUGAUGCAGAAAACUUCCACAUCAGAUUCCUAAGAGCAGCGAUAGAAGCGUGCUGAUAACGUGUUAUGGCUUAUUUUAAUCUGACAAGGGAGAGGGGGCUGGCGGCAUAGAGAGAGAAUAGAGAGAGAUGCGUUUGUAGGGUUGUGUAGAGGAUGAGUUAUUCCCCUACGCAGUGCCUUUAUUUAUAGUAAUAAGGGAGGGAAGAAUCCUUCUCCUCCAGGAAUACAAGUCCUAAUAGAGAAAAAUAACUAGUAUCAAAUAUAAUCUAGAAUUACACAAUCACACUUAAAUAAGAAGUUUAUAAUUUAUUGGUAUUUAUAGGCUAGAUUUAUUUGGAAUGUACUACAAUUUAGAAAAAUAAAUAAAUAAAUAAAAAUGAUUGGAUGUGAACAGACUUUCAUAAUUUGUGUUCAAAUGGGUACUGGUUCAAAUGGAUAAAUUGGUAAAGAUAAUUAAGAUUCAAAAAGCCCAGUGUUUGUGCAUCAAAUAUUUUCCUCCCUAAACAAAAUUAAUCAAUGAUAUAGUUUAGUUGGGAAUUUUAUUUGGCAGUGAAUCUCAACCUAUAACGUAAGACAUGUUGUAUAAAACACCAGAUAAGACUAAUAAUACGGAGUCAGGUGUUUGGUGUCCCUUUGUAUUAAAUAGUUAACGGAUUAAAUAAUUCGGCUCCACUUAUUUUAUACAAUGAGAACCCAAAUAGUUCCCCUCUCCAAAACCAUGGUUUUAUUUAGUUGGAUAGAAAUAUCUUGCUUUCUUAGUCCCUCUCAGGCUUGCUCUCUCCUCUGAAUCAGAGGUUGGUCUUCUUCUUCUUCCCAGGUUCGGCCCUCCUUCUAUUCUUCCCUCCUAUUUUUCCUGCAAUCUUCUUCUUCUUCAUCCCAAGUUCAGCCCUCCUUCUGUUCUUCCCUCCUAUUUUUCUCGCAAUCUUCUUCUUCUUCAUCCUAGGUUCAGCCCUCUUCCUUCUGUUCUUCCCUCUUAUUUUUUUUUCCUCCAAUUUUCUUCCAAUUGAUUAAAUCUAGGUAUUGUUUUCUCUCUAAUUUUUCAAUUGAUUAUAUAAUUUUGUCUUUUAAUUAGAAUUUUAGAGUUUGUUAUUGGGUUGAAUUAAAGGUCCUUUUAAUGUUUGGAAGACUUUGCAUUUGUGAGUAUUGCUAUUUGAACUCCAGGAAAUCGAUGAAUAGGCAGGUCUGUCCCGUUAUUAUAUUUAUAGGCCCACCCUACAUCCAUACAUGAAACCCACCCCGCCCCAUUUUCUCUUUACCAAAUGCCCCGCCUUGAACCUGCCCAGUCCCCCAUUACCCAGCCCUAUCGGUGGGUCUACUACCUGUUUUGCCCACCCCUAGGUUUAGGGUUUCGUCAAUACUUUUUUUUUUUUUUUUAACAAACGAUAAUCUAAAUUUAGGGGACGAGGUUGGCUAAGUCUCAUAAUUGGCUAAUAAUAAUGUAGUUUAAAUUCACUUUUGGCAAGAAUUGAACCUAAGACCUCUCACUUACAAAUAAAGAAGAAUAUCACUAGACCAUAAUACUAAGUAACUAUAAUAUAUUUAACAUGUACUUGGUUUCUAUUACAACUAUUUCCAACUAUUUCUUUGUGCUUAUUCAUCAAAUUUUUUAGUGUCAUCUGACCCACAUCAAGUCUUAAUUUGUUCUUGCGUCCUGAUGAAUUUGGUGCACAAAGUCGACAAAAUGUAUGGAGGACUAUUUGGUCGAAUGUUCUCUGAGAAUACAGAGGUUAAAUUUCCAACAGAAAAAGAAGGUCUUGAGUCUGAUGAUGAUCCACCUACACUUACAGGAGCUGCUUCCUUUGUACGGAAAGAGAUCUUUUCCGUAUCUUUAGUACCGGAUCAAGUUAUCCAGACAUUUAAAAUUUGAUCAAACGGCUAAAAGUUGCUCAUUUUAGUUGUUGGAUCAAUUUUCAAAGACCCGAAUUACUUGAUCCGGUGGCCUUGGUGGAAAAGAUCUAGAGAGGAUCUCUUUCCCUUUGUACCACCUUCAUGUCAAAAUAUUUAAUAUUUUUUUGGUAUUGUAUUUGUUGGGUUUUGAAUAUAGGAUAAUAUGAGAAAAAAAUCAACAAACAGGACCUGUCAAAAUUUUUUCCUCUUCCCUUUUUCUUAUUCGGUUGAGUACCAAACAUAGCAUAAUUAAGAUGGAUUUUAGUUCGAUAUUACGCUAAAUGCCUGAAUAAUUUAAUCGACUAUUAUCCUAUCCAAUUCAAAAAAUCAGUACAUUUCAAAAAACAAGGCCUUAUGGUUAAGCGUUGAGCAGCACCAAUUUGAGUGCACCUCACAAAAUAAACAAAACUCAAAUCAGAAAUGUGACCAAAACGAAAACCCCACUGAGAUAGGAUAUCGAAAAUAAAACCUAGUAGGAACAAAUAGAACCAUUUGUAGAAUUGGGGAUAGGAAAGAGAACCCAGAUAACAACUACAUGAGAAGAAGGGGGAACCGAGGUCACGGCGGCGGGAGGGAGACCUGUCGGCGUUGCCGCGACGGACAGGGACUGAAUUUUUAUCCUGAUCGUAGCUGGUGACCUGGGCGUUGGUGUUGAAUGACCGAGAAACGAUGGGAAAUACAGAAGCAGAACGUAUGGGGUUGGAGAGCUUGGAGAUGAGGGUUGGUGCUGCGGCCCUUUUGAUAAGGAUAGACAUUGACGAAGCCAUUGUUGUGCUGCAAGAAAUACGAUUGUAGUGGCUUUGAUUUGGGUUUUUUUAUCGGUUUGUGAAAUGAUUUGUGCUCGUUGGGUUUACAGGAGGUUUAAGGGGAAGGGGAUUUUAUAUAGAGCAGACACAAGUGAUGGCAUAAUCACAUGGGAAACCGUGGAGGAGUGAAGAUUCUAGAAACCAAAAGAUAUAAUUAUUUAUAACCUUGUUAUUGUAUUAAUUUCUGUCUAUUUAUCAAUGCACCCUGGAAUACCUUUUUAUUGGUCAUGUGCUUUUGAUGCUCAUAUAGAUGUAGACACAAUAUACACGGCGUAUUGUGUUAUGAUUUAGUUGACACAUGUGCAUUGUAUUGGUAGAUUGUCCUUGGGACUUAACGAUAGAUGAAAAUUGUAGGUGCUUCGAAUAUGCUCUCGUGUACACAUGUGGUGUUGUGUAUGGUGACGAGCUCGAAGACGUCAUAGCUAAGGUCUAUUUGGUUGACCUCUAAAAUAUUGCAAUGUCCCUAACGGCAAAGACAUAACCAGUUUGGAAAUGUUCCUUGUGCAAAUUAAACAAUAAUCUAUGUCAGCGUAUUCCACAAGGUAGGCAUUUUUCGAGAACCAAGAGGUUAGGAUUCUUUUACGAUGCAUAGCAAUAGAAUAAGCCCAAAUCCGUAGUAAACGAAAAAUGUCUAUAACACCAAAUUGGUGGUGGUGUGUAGGCGAACUACUGCCUUAUGCCAAAAGAUUAUCGAGGAUUGAGAUGUUUGAUCUAGUGCUUUGAGUUUAGUACAAUAAACGUGAACUGCACUUAGAUAUGGAACUUUAGGCUCCAUAACCUCCACAAAAGGUUUCAUUCGCAUCUAGUCAUAUGGACGAGCAUAGGUAUACUUGAAAGCAACACCUUUUGGGUGUAGUUUGACUGGUGGACCAGAAUACCGUCAGAACUCACGCUUGAAACUUUAGGCCAAGAUAGUGUUGAUUUUUCCCAAGAUCUUUCAUCUCAAAGUCCGACUUCAAGUGCGAGGCAGUUUUCUCAAGCUUUUCUAGAGUUUUAGUGAGAUUCAUGUCAUUGACAUGAACUGCAACUUUAGUAAUUUUGGAUUUUGUACACGCAGGGGCAUAUAUAUCCCUAACUAAUCAAAUAUUCACUUAGACGAGUAUACCACAUUCAACCGGAUUGGGGAAAGCCUCUUCUAAAUCGAGAGAGUGUUCAGUGGUCUAGAACUAUUUGAACUAGCACAUGUAAGUCUUUCAAAAACUUCCAUGUAGAUUUCGUGUCAUGAUCCUAGGGAUACGUCAUAACCACGUUUAUAAUGAUGUAGUCAAUCCAAGGCAUAUGAGAGAAGUCUUGCGCCAUAAAACGAUGUUAUAUUACACUAUUUUGUUUAUCCCAUUUGACAUGGAUUGUUUCUUUCUAGUGGCUUGAGCUGAGCCUCCGCACUGAAUCAAUUUCCAUUCUAGAGGGGAACAACAUAAGGUUGGUCUCACAAAGCAACGAUUGCCUCCUCCUCCUCUGUUUUUUUUUUCGAAUUCUUCUUAUGUCAUGUUCAUUUUAGUGUUUUGGUUAAUGAAAUGAGAAAUCAAUUAUCGACACAAGAAUGACAUAAUGACAACGUUCUAAAAACGGCAAUUUAUCAAUAAUAGCCAAAAAUUCACUCUUAAUUUCAAAAAUGUCAUUUUUUAUAAAACUUUCAAUUGUAUCUAAAAUCCUAGUUAAAUAGACAGAAAUACCCUUAAUUCAAGUGGAUAAUUAUCCAGCCAGAAUUGAUACAUACAAUUUGCAUAAAAACUACGGACACAAUUAUGUUCAACUACAAAAGCAAUUUGGAUAAAAACUUCAUAAGCAAUUAUGUUAAAGUUACAUUAGGCAAUUUACAUAAUAACUACAUUGCAUAAACACUUGAUGACACAUCCCGACCCGGAUUGUCCACUAGGACUGCGAAUCAAGUUGUGAUGGACAACACAUGGAAGGUGACGAAGCCAUAAAGUGUGGUGAUGUGGAAUAUGUGAAUAAAUUUAAACCUAAAAGUGUCUAAACACGAGAGUACGCUGUGAGCGGGAAUGAACCCAUUUCACAUGUGACGUCAGAGCAUAAGUAAAGUAUAGUAAAGUGGAUUGAAAAUCAUACCAUCGAAGGUAAUCUCCAAUACCAAGACUUGCCAUGAAUCCUCAUCAAUACGAAAACUUUGCUACUAAAACCUAGAAGGAUAAAAAAAAUAAGAGUGAGUGGGCCUGAGUAUAAAGCUUUAAUAAGGACCUUCUAAAUGAUAUAACCCAUUGCUGCACUACCUGUAUAGUUUCCAGGAAAUCAUACUACAUAUAAGUAUGAAGUCAAAUGUAAAUCAACAUUAAAUCUAAAAAUAAUCCAAAAUCACUACAGAUCGGCAACAGCAUAAUAAGAUCAGGUGCUCAUCUAUCUAUGAUAACCCACGAGUUGGAGUUGCCUAACGCAACUUGUACGACUCAUAAAUCAACCUAUGAUAACACAUGAGUCAGAGUUGCCUAAUGCACCCUGUAUGACUCAUAGGCAACCUGUACAAUGGUGUCGGAGUUCCCAUUGCGACCUGUAUGAUAAUGUCGGAGUUACCUAUCAUUGCAAAUUGUAUGACAGUGUCGGAGUUGCCUAUUACAACAUGUACGACAAUGUCGGAGUUGCCUACUAUUGCAACAUGUACGACAAUGUCGGAGUUGCCCAUUAUUGCAACCUGUAUGAUAGUGUCGGAGUUGCAUAAAACAUAAAUAUAGUCAUAUCAUCAAUCAAUCAUUUCAAAUAACACCAUAAACUCACCUAAACUUACAUGCGGGUCCCACGUUCACCUUAGCACUUCAAAGCAUUCACAACAAUUAUAUGUAGGUGAUAUGCAUAUGGAUAUGCCAUAAUGCAAUCUAAAACUCAACCAUAUCAUAGAAUUUUAGAUUAUAUAAUAUAUAUAUAUAUAUAUGACAUGGCAUAAAAUGCAUAAAUCAAUUUAAAAAUGUUUGUGGAAUUAUCAAUCAUAUAUAUACGAUAAAAAAGAAAAGACCCACUCACCAGAGGUCCACGCUACGACUCCUUAGCACGAAUAUCGAGACAUCAUGAAUGAUCCUCACCUAGAACAAUUAUUCAGUCACGUCUCAGAACUCUUAUCAAUAGAACAUGUAACUUACAUAAAACACAUCCCAAUGACGUUCUAGAAUGAUUUGAGACCCAUUGACCAAAAGUCAACCGUCGGUCAAAGAUCAACAGUAGGGUCCACAACCCUAUGUAAUUCAAUCCGGAAGAUCCGCAUCUCGGAUUUCCAUUCCAUAACUUCUAAAGAUCCACAUUGUGCUUCUAAAAUAUCAUACUAAAGUUUCAUUACAAUCCAACGGUUGGAUCUCCACCAAUUGCCAAUUCAAGUGGCAGUCAACGUUUUAUUUUACUAACUUACAAAUCUAAUUUGAAAAAAUCCGUACAUCAGAUUUCCAAUCCAUAAGUUUCUAAUAUCCUCAAAUAUUACAUACUAUAUUGUAUUAAAGUUUGGUGACGAUCCAACGGUCGGAUCACCAAUUCACAUAAUGUUCAAGUAGCGUCUUUAUCAAAACUAUGUUCAAACGAUGAGAUUUCAUCAAUUGGACUUCACCUAUGGAAUUGGGGUGUCAAACUUAGCUUAGAAAGGUCAGGGGAUGACUCGGCUUACACACCGCCGCACACGGCGGUUGGCCACCCCGAUUCGCUGAAAAAUUCAACUAUCUCCAAAAAUUCUCAAAUUUUACAGAAAUGAAGAUCUCAAAGAGUAGAGUAAGUUUUAUACCUGUGGACAAGUCCAAUUUGUCCGGGAAAGGCUCCAAUUUCACUCAAACCCUUUAGAACCCUAAAAUGGGUGAACUUUGAUUCUCCUACCUCGGUGUUCCAAUGUCUCUACCACUGGUUGGGUCAUGUUCCUGGGUCCAAAGGGAGUUAAUUGAGGGUGGUGGUGGGUAGUGAAACUCACCGGAACGAUGAAAUCGACUUCGAACACCUCCGGUGCUCCGGCACUGUUCUUGAUGAUUUUGGACUUAAAACCCCACGAAUUUGGGUGAAGAUGGAAGAUGGAAGGUUGUAUAAGAGGUUACAGGUGUUGUAUGGUCAUGAUUCGAUGGAAGAAAUGGCGAAAUUCGCCGGAAAUGGUUGGGUUGGGUUGGGUGUGGGGGUUGUACGAGUCGGGGGAAAGCUGAAGGCUUUCCUUUUUUUUUUUUUUUUUUUUCCUCCCCCUUUCUAAUUGGUCCUUAGUUCCAUUUAAAUUGAUUGGUCCUUUAUUCCCUUGCUAAAAGCUAAUUGGCUUCCUUCCCACAAAAUGGGAGCUUAAAUUAUUUAACUAACUUUAAAUAAUCAACUUCAAACGUCUGUAACUAUACUGUUAGCUUUUGCCUAUGUGUUCAUAGCUUCAAGAUCUAUUUGGAAACACUAAUUGUGACUUCGAACGGUCAACGAAAGUCAAACAUCCUUGCCUCUAAAGGUAUUUUCAUAAAAUCACUACUUUAAAAUUUAUAAAACUGAAGAUUUUGGGAUGACAUGUCACACUUGAGAACAAAUAAAAAUGUACCCAAAUACAUACAAACCUAUAGCAAAGAACCACAAAUCAGCGAAACCACAUUUAAGUGUUAUCUAUUUCUCUCCUAAAAAUUAGCGAAACCAAAGAACCAAAAAGGGAUACCAACAAAAAUAUGGAAUAAAUUAAAAAAGAAAAAGAAAACAUAGACGAGGAAAAAUAAUAAAAAAUUAACCAUCUACACUUACCGUCGUGAGUGUAGAUGCCAUAUAACCAUAGUGAGGAGUAUUGUAGGAUGACACAUGUACAACAAGUUCACAAUUUAAAACCAUAUAAAGUGCAAAAUAGGAGAAAAAUAAGAAAAUAUAUUAAUGUAAGAUACUUAUCUGUUAAAAGCCCAAGGUACACAUUAUUUAGUUAGCAAUUAAUUUUGAAACUAUGCAAGUUGCUUUGGUACAAAUUUGUUAAAAGACCUUUACAAAUUCCGAAACCAAAAAGCCCACGGUACUAACCCCCAAAAAGGCCGACCAAUUGUAAAAAAGGCAUGCAAAUUACAAAUUGCUUUUAUAUCCAAUUAAAUUAACAUGAAAUCCAAAAAAAGCUUGCUAAGUUAUUCACUUCACACAGGUCUUCCACGCAGUCCUAGGCUUGCACCUAGCACUAGCAGCAACAGUGAAAUACAAUAAAAGAAUUUAAAAAUAAGUAAAAUGAAAAGAUGGUGGGGACCAUCUUAAUGAUAAAACCGUGCAAUUAAACAGACAAUAGAGCUUCAUCUUCUUCCUUACGCGAUGCUGGGCUCUGCAACAAAAUUUUUUUCAGAUUCCGCCGUUCUCCACAUAAGCCCGCCUAGACCCCGCCCAACUUCACCCAGCCCCGCCUAGUCCCGCCUAAUCCCACCCAAACGUCCGCCUAAUAUGCUUUCUGAUUUUGUGACCGAUUAGGGCUUAAUCGCGGCGGUAACUCGCCGUUCAGCGCCUAGGUGGCCGCCUAGAUCGAUUUUUAGAACACUGCUAUUUCUUAGGUUUUGCCAUCAGAAAUUCAUCUAAUAGGUUUUGAUUUUUUGGUUUAUUGGAUUUUAAAGUUUUAGAGUAUUUGUGUCUAUUUAAAUGAAAUUUUGGAUGUAUUUGAAAGUUUAUAUAAAAACUGGCAUUUUUGAAAUUAGAAACUAAUAUUUGACUACAUAUGUCUACUCUUAAUUUUGAUAGUUUGCAGAUGGCGAAAUAUCUGUAAUGUUUGUUUGCAAAAGGUUGGGAUUUGGAAUGUUCUGAAACCCCAUGUCACUUUUUUCGUAUAAACUUAAAACACUUGGAAGUUUUAUCACAAGCAAUAUUACUAAUUUAGACCAUAUAAAGGGGCGGGGAUAGGGUUCGAACACAUGGAGUAGAGGGUUGAACCGGAAAGGUAAGUCCACCAAUUCCACUUUUAACAUUUGGUUACUGAAAUGAGAAAUCAAUUAUCGACACAAGAAUUACAUAAUUACCACGUUCUAAAAACAAGUCAUUCCAACAACCAAACGUCGAAAAUUAAAUCAUUUCGGCCAAAAGCCCUUGUCUACAAAUCCAAUCGUCUACCGGAUUAAUUACCAUACUAACAAAAUCGAACCAACACAAAUAAUAUGAAACAAUUGAACACGUGCUUUACAUCACACAGAGAUGUAUAAAUUAUUAAUAACCAUCAAAGAUACAGUUGACCAAAAUCCCACAAGUCAGAACCACAUAAGAAACAAAGUGAAAAUUAUCCUCUCCAGUUACAAAAAGAAUGUAAGCUUACCGAAAACCAGUCCCCACCGCUAAUCUAGAAUUCCAGUGCCUAACAUCGACGACGACCCGCUAAACAAGUUUCGAAACUUUCGCAAAGCUAACUAAAAAUGAGCCACCAGCCCUCACCCUCAAUUUCUCCCUUUCACCAUCGUUCUUCAAUGACUGAGAAGGGAACAGUUUGACAACAGAAUUGUAACAGACUGCUUACGACUUCUUCAUAAGAUAACCCAAAAGUAAUCCAAUCAAGCCAAUAACAAUGACGAAAAGGAUCGAAACGCCACCACGACUUUUGCUCCCUUGACGCUUCAAUAGCUCCUACACAAUAACUUAGUAAUUAAAACACAACAAUAUUUCAGAAGCGAGAGAUUUAACAAUCCAAUAGCGUGAAACCCGUGAAAAAAAAGGGUACAAAGCCUUUUUUAUUUUUAACAUGGACAUGAUUAAGGUAGAAGAAUAGAAGUAAAAGAAAUAAAAACCGACUUCUCACUGCUUCAGAAACAACCUCAAUCAUCUCCAAGAAAGUAACAAUACAGAGGACCGCUCCAAUUUGUUUUCACUCCUAAUCGUAACAUAACUUUUUGGUUUCCGUUUUAAGGAUCUGAAAAAUCCAGAACCUUCACAUGGCACGUAACUUCCCAAAGUUUAUUACUUUGUAUGAUGGGAAAACUACUAUAGCAUCUCUGCCAAAGGCCUACCUUCAGAAGUAGUUCAAAAGAGCUAAAUACCAAAAAUGCAAAACAGUAAACUAAGAAGUCAUUUACUCUUCAUUUUGGACCUUAUACAGAACCCGAGAGUAAAAAAUGUUCCUUAAAAGAGGAAGUCUACCACAUUAACAAGCUCAGCUAAAAUAAACCGAUCAACCGUCAAACUUCUUAUCAAGACCUAGUACACAUAGGGGUGACUAAUACAUCUACUCAUUGUGCGCGUUUUAUCAAAUAAAAACAUAUCAGAAAUGGAGAGAAGAUGACACAAUGAAUUUGUAGAGCUGAUAGAUUUUCUAUUAAUAUCGUUAGAAUAUACAACUCCGCCUGUGUAAGUUUAUCUUACAUUGCCAGUCCCAAGCCCGGAUAGAGGAGGAGGGGGAGGGCGUCAGGUAAUCGACAGCCGACACUCCUAGGUUACGUCGAAUCCUUAUGAAAAUGAAUCCAUAACAAAAUCGAGCUAAAGCUAGAGCGUCAUCCGUAAGUGGCGCGCUGUGUGGCCCGAGCACAGUGAUAAAUGAGUAAGGGUCGCUGUAUCUCCAUCGGCACCCGGAUGCAGUGUAAAAUGAGCAAGGGGGGUCAUAUAAACUUCUUUUUGAACGACUCCACUCAAAGUUGUUUGGAAGCAUAUGCUCCUAUCAACUUUACAAAGGACACACAAAAGAAGUACUUUGCUCCCUAUUAGACGGGGAGGGUGAAGAAGCUAGGACAGAAGAGUAGAGUUCAAGAGAGUAGAAUGCGUUCAGGAACGUGGAAUAUAGGAACCUUAACGGGAAAAUCUAUGGAAGUAGUGGAAAUUAUGGUGAGGAGAAGGAUAAGUAUUAUGUGCCUACAAGAAACUAAGUAGGUUGGUCUUAAGGCAAAGGAUCUAGAAAACUCAGGUUUUAAACUUUGGUAUUCGAGCACAAAUAGAACGAGAAAUGGUGUUGGCAUCAUCGUGGACAAGACCUUGACACAAGAUGUUGUAGAUGUUAAAAGGGUAGGAGAUAGAAUUAUGGCAAUCAAGAUUGUAAUAGGACAAAAACUCAUCAAUGUGAUUAGUGCGUACGCACCUCAAGUAGGGUUGGAUACGAGUUUGAAGGAGAAAUUUUGGGAAGAUAUUGGAGACUUGGUGCAAGGAAUUGCUCAGACGGAGAAGGUAUUUAUAGGAGGAGAAUGGACACGUGGGCAAGGAGACAGGCAACUAUGGAGGUUUUCAUGGUGGCCAUGGUUUUGGGGAGAGAAACGAGGAUGAGGAAGCCAUCUUGGAUUUUGCAAUGGCAUAUGAUCUCUUCUUAGCCGACACCUUCUAUAAGAAGAGAAAAGAACAUGUGAUCACCUACAAGAGUGGGUCGGCAAAAACACAAAUAGAUUUUCUUCUAAUGAGGAAAGGGGAUCGUAUAACUUAUAAGGAUUGCAAAGUUAUACCGGGAGAGAGCUUGGCUAAUCAACAUCGCUUGUUGGUGAGAUGUGCAUAUCAAAAGAGAGAAAAAAGAGCAAGAUUUGGAAGUGCCCAAGAACUAGAUGGUGGAAUCUAAAAGGACAAAAACAAGCCAUUUUCAAAGAGAAAGUAAUCACCCAAUGCGUGUGGGAUAGAGAGGAGCAAGCUAGCCAAAGAUGGGAUUCCAUGGCUAGUUGUAUCUGAAAAGUAGCAAAAGAGGUAUUAGGAGAGUCCAAGGGCUUUGCUCCACACCAAAAGGAAUCUUGGUGGUGGAAUGAGGAGAUACAAACAAAGGUGAAGGCUAAGAAGGAAUGUUGUAAAGCCCUAUACAAGGAUAGGACCGAUGAAAAUGGUGAAAGGUAUAGAAUAGCGAAGCAGAAGGCGAAGAAAGCUACGAGAGAAGCUAAGCUAGCGGCUUAUGACGAUAUGUAUAAUUGACUAAAUACCAAAGAAGGAGAGUUGAAUAUCUAUAAACUAUAAACUAGCUAGAGCAAGGGAAAAGAAGACAAUGGACCUAAACCAAGUGAGGUGCAUCAAGGAUGAGGAUGGAAAAGCUCUUGCUACUGAGAACACAGUCAAAGACAGAUGGAGAGGCUAUUUUCAUAAUUUUUUCAAUGAAGGACAUGAAAGGAGUACUUCUUUGGGGAAGUUGAGUAUUUCAGAAGAGAGUAGAAACUACUUCCUUUACCGCCGAAUCAGGAAGGAAGAAGUGGUUGUAGCUUUGAAAAAGAUGAAGCAUAGAAAAGCAGUGGGCCCAAAUGAUAUACCAAUCGAAGUGUGGAAAGUCUUGGGAGAGACGGGUAUAGCAUAGCUCACAGACAUUUUCAAUAGGAUUUUGAAAAAUAAGAAGAUGCCAAAUGAGUGGCGAAAGAGCACUUUGGUGCCUAUCUACAAGAAUAAGGGCAACGUACAAAAUUGCAUGAACAAUAAGGGUAUUAAGCUAAUGAGUCAUACAAUGAAGCUCUGAGAGAGUCAUUGAGCAUAGAUUGAGGCAAGAGACACGGGUUUCGGACAACCAAUUCGGGUUCUUGCCACCAUGGAGGCAAUCUAUCUCUUACAAAGAUUGAUGGAAAGAUAUAGAGAUAGGACAAAGGAUUUACACAUGGUCUUUAUAGAUUUGGAAAAAGCGUAUGAUAGGGUCCUAAUAGACAUUUUUUGGAGGAUUUUAGAGAAGAAAGGAGUACGAGUAGCAUAUAUCCAAGCUAUAAAGAAUAUGUAUGAGGGAGCAAAGACUGCCGUAAGAACUCAUGAAGGACAAACCGAAAGCUUCCCCAUAACUGUUGGGUUACAUCAAGGCUCAUCCUUAAGUCCUUACCUUUUUGCAUUGGUAAUGGAUGAGUUAAUGGGACAUAUUCAAGAUGAUAUUCCUUGGUGUAUACUUUUCGAAGACGAUAUAGUGUUGAUAGAUAAAACUCAGGAAGGUGUAAAUGUGAAGCUUAACCUUUGGAGAGAAGUGUUGGAAUCUAAAGAUCUUCGCCUAAACCGAUCAAAGAUAGAAUAUAUGAAGUGCAAGUUCAGUGCAAAUGGAGGCCAAAAUGAGUUAGGGGUGAGGAUCAGAGAUCAGGAAGUACCAAAGAGCGACCGCUUUCGCUACCUACGAUCUAUCUUGCGAAAGAACGGAGAAUUAGAUGGAGACCUCAACCAUAGAAUACAAGCUGGAUGGAUGAAGUGGAAGAGUGAAUCCGGCGUGUUGUGUGACCACCGUAUGCCACUGAAGCUAAAGGGAAAAUUUUAUAAGACGGCAAUAAGGCCGGCGAUGUUGUAUGGCACGGAAUGUUAGGCGGUAAAGCAUCAACACAUACAUAAAAUAGGUGUAGCGGAGAUGAGGAUGCUUCGUUGGAUGUGUAGGCACACAAGAAAGGAUAAGAUUAGGAAUGAGGAUAUCCGAGGUAAAGUAGGAGUACCCAAAAUUGAAGGAAAUAUGAGAGAAUCGGUUACAAUGGUUUGGACGUGUGCAAAGAAGGCGUACUGACGCUCCGGUUAGAAGAUGCGACUAUGGGACAAAGGUCCAGGGCCGAAGGGGUAGAGGAAGACCUAGGAAAACUUUGGAAGAGACUUUAAAAAAAAACUUAGAGUAAGAUGCGACUACGGGAUAGAGAUCCAGGGCCGAAGGGGUAGAGGAAGACCUAGGAAAACUUUGGAAGAGACUCUAAAAAAAGACUUACUUGGAUCUAACAGAGGACAUGACACCACUUAGUGGGAAAAGGCUUUGUUGUUGUUGUUGUUGUAUCGUUAGAAUAUACAACAAAACCUUUGGGAACAGGGGUACACCGAAGAGACUUUAACAUUUUAAGUCAAAUUCCACAUAUUGGGCUCUAGUGGUGGAGAGAGACACAUAUGAGGGAUAGUAUUCGAAUAUAAAUCUUUAUAGGGUCACAUCCUAACAGCUUAAGCUUCUGGGAACCAUCAGCAGGUAUGAAGUUUCAGUAGAACCAUAAUCACAUCCAACUCUAGGAUAGACCAAUAUGACCGUUGCAAAUUGGAACUAUUCAAUCAAUAUAGCAUACGUUUUUUAGGAGAAAAAUGCAUGCACAAGGGUGAGAAGGAAUAUAAAAGGGGUAAAGAAGAGGACAAAUAUAAUUCCAUUGAAGUUCAUAUCAAGCCCUCACCAGCUCUUGACGAAGCCUGUUACUAUGUUGAAUUGCUUUAUUCUUUUCCUCCGUCAGUUUCAAAAUAAGUGAUCUUGCCUGCAAUAACAAAAGUAAACGUAUAUAAGAACCAGCACAGCAAGCACCAUUAAUUAUAUGGUUGACAGCUACUACUUAGGGCACAAGGAAUAUUACAACCACAUAUGUGAAUUUGUUUUAUAUAUCAUGUGUCGAUUACGCAUUGUGAUAUUGAAAGAAACAACUUUGGGAAGAAGGUCAAACACAAAACUGGCUAUCUGAAAGAAAAAAAGGCAUACGCUCUUUCAUUUGCAACAAAACAGUAGAGUUUCUACCCCAUUAAAAGCAUAAAAUAGUUAGAUUUCUGAUAUGUUUAUGAUGCUUUGAGAUGCCGCAACCAGAUCUCUUGGGCAGUCAAUAAGCAAGAAAACACUAGUCAUACAAGGGACAAUCAAAAUAAACCAAAAGGUGGAGUCUUUGACAAAAAAAAAAAAAAAAAACCAAAAGGUGGAGUCUAGAAACUUUAAAUCAUUCCUGGACGAGCCUCAAAUUCAGGGAAGACUAAACCAUGGAAGGUGACAAAACGAGAAACAAAAACCAUGAUAUUUUGAAGUCCUUUCUCAAAUGAUGGGAUAAUCCUAAUCAAGAAUACGUAAAACAUAAUUUUCUUUGUAAUAUUGUACAUAUACUUGUAUGUAAGAAACCAAGUUAUCAAAAAGAAUGCUACUGAACCAUGAACACUUGACUGCAAUUUUCACCAUGAACAAAAACAAGCCAAUUAGAAAAGAAACAAAGAUACUAAUCAAGGUCCCAUGAAGCUUAUUGCCAUGCUUACUAGUUAAAACCAACUUUCAAUUUUUGUAGUACAUUCUUACGCGGUUCUUAGUCAAUAAUACAAGUUAAAUGAUAAAACAUUAAUCAAUGUGAGAGACAUCUGGCCUAACAACAUACGUAUCAGAUUUUCUGAAAAACAAAUAAGCAAAAUUCAGAAACUGAAUAAGAUAUAAGACUUAUAUACUCAGACAUGUUGUCUGUAUGUAUUAAAUUUACCUCUGCAGAUCUCUCCUGAGGUUCAAGCUCAGUAAAUGCUUUUGCAGCCUGUAAUCACCAAAAAAACAGCAUGCCAAUCAAUAUCUUUCAUGGACUGAAGACAAAAAAAAAAAAAAUCAUCCAAUAGUCUCAUAACUCAAGCACUCACAUUGGAAAACUCAAAACCAUUCACGUUUCCAUUCUCAGUAGCAGAAACCCUUGGUGAAGACCCUUCUUCUGACCCUUCUGGAACCUGAGAAGGCAGAUGAGGUGGAGAAACAUAUAGCACUCUUAAUUUGCACUCUUCAACUUCAUGUCCCGCCUCUUUAUUGAACUACACAGAACCAAUUCCACAGUGAAUAAAACUUGGCAAAAGUGCACAAAACAUCACUACUUACUAACAACAUUGUGUAAAAUAACUACCACUUGAGGAGUAAUAUCCUUCAUAGUUGCACCAUCGUUAGUUUUUAUACUCUGGAGGAGGAACUUGUCCUUACAUUGCAUGUCCGGAGGAGCCUCUUUUUGGGCUUGCAUUGUAACUGUAUCACAACAAACAAUUAAAACUUACAAAACCCAUAAUACAUAUUUUAUAUAUAUAUAUAUAUAUAUAUAUAUAUAUAUAUAUGUAUGUAUGUAUGUAUGUAUGUAUGUAUCAUAGGAAAACAUAAUGACUAUGCACCUAUAACAUCACAUGUGGAUCGAGGCAAGACAAUUCCGGUGUUCGGACGAACACAAUACUUCUGGGGGUUCGUAGUUUUGACCUGAACAUAAUCAAAUACAUAUCAAACCUCCAAAGCAAAACUAUAAACUUGACAAAUCUGCGUUUCAGUUCCACCGCAUCUCAAAACACACGUAAAAUUUAAAGCCCCAGAUUUUACAAACACCAGAUUCGAAUUCUACAUUCUUCAUGUUAUUUGAUUUACAAAAAAAAAAUAAUACGAAAAUAUUUGUAAAAUAACAUAAACUGAACCACAAUGGAGUGGAAACAGUAAUAUUUCGGGUUCCAAAUAAAUCAAAUACAUAAUAAUCACAAUCUUACUGCUCUCCUUUUUCCUACCAACCAAACAGAGUGUACAUAUACAAAUAUGUAUCUAGAUAAACAAAAUGAAAAAGAAAAGAGGCUGACCUUGAAAGCGACAUAGCUAUCGGUCUUAUUCGAGAGCUGGAGCGAACAGGAGAUCUGCUUCUUCAAUUCGACUGGAGAAUUUCGAAAAACAAAAACAAAAACGCAAAUUGAAAGCAGAAACGAAACCGCUAAAUGCAAAUUUUAGAAAACGAAAAACAGAUCGAAAGAGAAAGAGAGCGUGUUAUACUGACAGGGGAACUUGAGCUCCAGAGGCUCGAUGCUGAGAAGUUCGCCGGUGCUCAUCGGAUCCGAUCGAUUCGAAAAAUGGGGGAAUUCGAAUUGAAUGGGAAACAAAAACGAAAACAGAGAUUACACGGAGAGAUUGAGAGAGAGGGAGAGAGUGAGUGAGAGGGAUCGGGGAAUCGGAAGAAAAUGGUUGUGAUUUGUGAAUAUAUGAGUGGGGGAAGUGUUCUUUUUUUUAUUUUUUCCUGAAAGAAAUUACUUUUGUUUUUUUUAUUUUAUUUUUUAAUCUGAAUUUUGAAGACAGUUAUGCGAGAGAGUAAAUGAGUAUUUACUAAUUUUGAUUUUUGUUUUUUCAACGUGGGAAUAUUUUCGCUCAUCACAAUUUAGUGUGGUGCAUGUUCAUCAUCCUAUAUAUCAUUGUUAGAUAAGGUUAAAUUUUGAGAUUCGUGUAGUGGAUAAGCACAAAUCUCAAUAUUCAAACUCAUCUAACGGUGAUAAAUAUGAUGGUGAGCAUACAUUACACUAAAUGGUGGUGAGCAAAAAUGCAUUCUUUCAACUUGCGUUGAACUGUUUUUUUCAGUGUGACCGUCACACGAGGUGGUACACCACGUGUCUCUAUAUAAAUGGUGAGAUAUGUGUGUUGAAAGGUUAAUAACUUUAAAAUUUAAAAUUUUUCACCACUUACAUAAAAACAGGUGGUGUACCAUCAGUGUUCCCGUCACAACUAAAAAUUUCUCCUCUCAUUCCUCAUUUUGGCAUACAAUUGGACCGUGUUCAAUGAUAUACACUAUGUUCUAAAAAAAUUCAUUUAACAUCUCGAUUAAUGCUUUAGACAUUUGAAAAGUAAAAAAGGACGUAUAGAUCGCUUAGGCACUUGACUAUAUACCUUAGACACCCGUUCAGCCUGCCUAAACUCGCCUAGGUAGGUUGCGACUCACUUUAGACAAAAAAAUUAGAUAACUUUCAUUUAUAUUUUAUUUUUUUUAAUAAAUCAUAAGAGGCUUGUUGUCUAUGUUUUCAUUAUGUUCUAAUACUUUAUAAUAUAUAUAUAUCAUAUUAAGUAUAAACAAACACUUAUUUAUACAAAAUAUAAUAGAUUUAUUUAAAUCCGCCUAGUUCGCGUGGGUUCCACCCAGCAACCUAUGUGUUAAGUUCCAAUCCAUUGUCCGACUAGCACCUAGCGUGUUUUAGAACCUUAAUGCUACUUAAUAUUCAGUGUUAUAAAUGUGAAUCUUAUGUUUACAACUAUUGAAUAUUUUACUUUCAACGACGUCUAUUUUUUUUUACCACUCAAUAUUAUGUAUCAUUGAAAAAAAAAAUUGCAUGUAAUCUCUCUCUCUCUCUCUCUCUCCAUUUCUUUGUUUUUUUUUUCAUUAUUAUUCUUUUUUAAUAAUUUUUUUUAACUUUUAUGGGAUGUGUUGAGACUUUAAUUUUAGGACAAUCCCUUUCUCCUAAUCCACAAAUAAAUGAAUCUGUGCCGUUGAAAAUUGAUUCAACGAUUAAAAUUAUUAUAACUUUUAAAGUGGACCCUUGUUUAUAGCUGUUAGAUCAAAUUUCAACGGUACGAAUUCCUUGAUUUGGUGAAUUAGCUUGAUCCCUUUCCUUAAUUUCAGGGUUAGUUGUUGCUUUGAAGUUCUUUCAUAAUAUUUGAUAUGGGAAAAACCUAAUCAAAUCGAAAAAGAAGAAACAAUAAACGCAAGUAUUCAUGGACAGAUCCAAAUCCUGAGCCCAGGGAUCAAUUGAUACGGCCCGUUGAAAUUUGAUCCAAUGGCUACAAUUAUUAUAACUUUAAGUAGGACCCCUUGUUUGUAGCCGUUGGAUCAAAUUUCAACGGCCCGGAUCAAUUGAUCCCUAGGCUUAGGAUCUGGAUCAUUCAUGGACCACCCCCCACCACAAAUGGAAAGUGGGCCCUAUUUGGUUUAGGUUUAAAAACAAAUCACUUGAAACAUAUGAUAUCUGGUUUUUUUAGGAGUUUCAGGCCAAGACACGUAUAGAAAUUAGUGUUUAAAAUAUUAAUAUUGGAAAUAAGAGAUCUUAGUUUUGAAUUUCGUAGAUGGCCAAUUUGAUACCAAAUUAGACUGUUCAUUGUAUAGUUUUGCCAAACUCCCCUCUCCUUAGUGUAAAAAUAUCGAUGUAGUAAAAAAAUUGAUAUUGGUGAAAAUAUUAAUAUACAAAUUUGUGGAAAUAUCGGUAUUUGAUUUUUUUUUUCUCUCAAAAUAUCGGUAUCUAUGGAAAUAUCAAUAUGCAAAUUUGUGAAAAUAUCGACGAAUAUAUCGAAUGACACACCUCGACCCGGAAUGUCUACUUGGACUCCGAAUCGAGAUGUGUUGGCCGACACCAGGAGGGUGACGAAUCCAUAAAGUGUAGUGAUGUAGAAAAUGUGAAUAAAUUUAAACCUAAAAGUGCCUAAAUGUAAGAGUGCCCCAGUGAGCAUGAACCCUCCAUAUGCGAUGUCAAAGUAUAAGUAAAGUGCAGUAGAAUGGAUUGAGAAUUAUACCAUCGAAGGUAGCCUCCAAUACCAAGGUUUGCAAAGAAUCCUCGUUGAUACAAAAACUCAGUUACUAAAACCUAAAAGGGCAAAAAAUAAGGGUGAGUGGGCCUAAAAAUAAAGUUUUGUAAAAGCCUUUUCGAAAACAUAAUAACCCCUCGUUGAAAAACAAGUAUAAUUUCCAAAAUAUACAUACUAUGCAUAGUAUGAAAUUACUUACCGUAACCUGCAAUAUCUCAAGAAUUCGGUAUGUCACAAUAUUUCAUAAAUAAACAUAUAACGUCCGGUAAUCACAUAAUCUUUCAUAAACAAAUAGAUAGUGCAGGACUGGCACAUACAAGUCCUAAUUGCUUAUAGCAAUAUAAAACAGGAUUGGCACCUACAAUGGAUCCAAAGUGAGCGUGCGGUGUGAUGUGAACAUACAUAUGAAGCCUGGCCCGGGCAAGUACUGACACCAACGUAGCGCACGAUGAACAUAUAAUAUAAAUAUGAUCGUGCAAUGGUAAAUAGAUAAUUCUAGUCGACAUAAUACUAUUCAUUAAAAUGUUAAUCAUGGCUCUAACUGAGAUCCCAAAAUAGUUCACAUACAUGUGCAUCCCGUAGGAUUUAACAUAAUUUCGUGAACUCCGUCAUUUCGCUAAUUCUUAUAAACGAUAGUCUAAUUUAGGUAUGCAUAGAAAAUUCUUUAUUAAGUAUAUAUGUGGAAACUAAAUAAAUAUAUAAUAUUAAAAAGCAAAGACCCACUCGCAAGUACUGGCGAGAUCACAUCCAUUUGAGCUAGGAAAACCGAAACCUCCGAUAGAAGUCGCACCUAAGCAUAAUAUUAAGACCUAUUAGUAAAAACUCCACUAAAACAAUUAAAUUUGGGAAAAUGAAGUGCAUAUUUGGAAUUAGAGUGUCGAAAUACACUAAGGAGGGGGCAAAUUUUGUAAAAAGUCAACAAAAAGUCAACUGUUAACUCUAAAAAGUCAACCGAGACGUCCCGGUGGUCAACUAUGUUAAAACUUUGAAAUUUCACUAAAUGGAUAUCAAAAAUGGACUCAGGACGUCGAAAUUAGCCUAUGAGGAUUUCUAAAAAAAUUUCGAAAAAGUCAGCAAAAGUCAAUUAACAGUCAACAUUUAAUUUUAACGAAAUAUUCCCACCUUAGAUCAUUCAACAUUUAAUUUUAAAAAAAGUCAAUUUCUGAGUGGAUUUGGGUCGGUUUGGCCCACGGAUCUAGGCUUGGGCCCGUUCUCGGUUUGGGCCUGCCUUUUAUUUUUUUAAACAAAUCGAGUCGACCUGGUCCCAGUCGCAGAUCCGUUUGCCAGUUUUUGGAAAAAUAUGGCAGGAAAGCUUUCACAACUCCGAUUAGCCCGAUUUCACAACUAUUUUCAACACAAUAUAUAUGGAUUUGAAGCUCAGAGAGAGAAGAAUAAUUGUAUACCAAAAUAACUUCGAGUCAUGGUCGGGAUCGGCCGGAAAUAGGCCUUCAACUCACGGCAUCCCUCGCCGAAAAACUGGGUUUGUUGACCUCACGUCCUUUCUACAUCUAAUCAUGCCAAAACACUCGCGAAAUGAGUUAAUCUUCAUCAAAAGGCGAGGAGAAGACAAUUCGAAUGGUCUCGUAGGGGAAGACGAUGAACAGUGACUGUCACUGUUCAAAAAGAGAGAGAAGUCAGCCCCAGGCUCGGCCCUUCGUUCUGGUCGUACGAGCAGGUGAUGAUGAUGGGAUGUGGACGUUGAAGUCUUGAGCAGGUGGUGAUGGUGGCCUGAUGUCUGGGCUUGCAGAGGAAAGAGAGGGACGAGAGAGUAGAGAGAGGAGGACAGACUUUAAGGGAGGUGAGAGCGGGAGAGACUAAGCGAGAGAGAGAAGAUUCUCGAGCAUGGCAGUGACGGUGGUCGCCUCACCGGACACGGUGGUGACGUGGUGGCAUGUGUGUGUGUUUCCCGGAGAGGAAGCGUGAGUGAGAGAGUAACAUAGAGCUGAGAGAAGGAGAGAGUCUGGGAGAGGUUUCCAGUGAGUUCGGGGAGGACCGGCGAGAAGGAAGUGGAGAGUUUUGAGGUGUGGGCCCCACGGGCCAAAAUAAAUUUCUAAAUUAUUAAAAUAUCCACCAAAAUAAUAUUAUAAUAAAAUAUUGAUACAAAAGUAAUAUAAUAAUUAUGAAAAAUACAUAAAAUAAUAAAUAGUAUUUUUACAAAAGUAUUUUUCGGAUUGGUAAUUCUGUAAAACCUCUAUCGUAACUUCGAUUUUGAUUUUGCUUGCGCUUACACAUUCAUACCGUCGAGUACUUCGAAAAUACGGUAAAAUAGUAGCUUGUACACACCACGAAAAGAUGAUCAACGAAAGUCAACAAUCUGGACUCGAGGACCAUUUUCGUUAGUUCACUUCUUUAAAAAUAUUAAAAUCGUAAAAUUAGAGACGAGUUGUUACAUCAAAUAUUAGUAUCGAUAUUGGUUGCUUUCGAUGUAAAUGAUGGAAAUUUAAAAUGAAAUUUUAGGGAUUGUCAAACAUUAGUUUGGACGAAAUAUAAGAGUUUAUUCGAUAUUUUAAAGAUGUGUCGGAAAUAUCAAUAAUAUCUGUUGAUUUUAGCUUAAACUUAAGAGUUUCUCCAAUAUAAGAUGAAGUUUAAACUUCACCUUCCAUUUUCUUAUCUUUCUCUAACUUUUUGAAUUUUCUGUAAAAAUCGUAUCGAAAAAGUUUUAAAUACUGGUAGAAAUCAGACAAUGUAUUUACUAAGAGAUUGAGCUGCAUUCAACUUCAAUAACACGUUAAAAUUGGGAGUCAUGUUCAUUAACCUGGAUGAAGUAGUGCUUUUGCUUUGUGAAAAGGUCAUUGGACUUUAAUGGGUACUUAAUUCCCUUUAAUGAUUCUCGGGUGGUUAUGUUACAAUCCCACAAUUAUUAUUCUCUAACAAGACAUUAUUAGUCCUAAUUAUUCUCCAAUGUCAUCGUGGUUCUCGCAGUCGUGAGCUAGCAGAUACUGUUGAAAAUGACUGCUCCUAAAUUAAGACUGGUUUAAGAUUGUAGUGCUUUAAAAAAAAAACAGCUUAUAAAAAAAUCUGAAACAUUACAUGUGUUUGGUAAAACUAAAAAAAAAUGUUUUUCUAAAACAUUAUUGUCAAUGACAGUAGAAAAACAUAGAAAAACAGAAGCAGGGUCUACCAUACUGCUAAAAAAAUAUUUUUUUUUUCAAUGCAUAUUAAUCAAUGCUCAUUUAAUAAAAUUUUCAAACGACAAGUAUACUCAACAUGUUUUAUAAAAUUACAAUCUUUGCCCCUACAGUAUUGACUUUGACAAUUAUUAUAUAAAUACUAUAUAUUUUUUCACCAUUUAACAUAUUCAAAACAAUUUAUAUAAAAAUUUACUUGACACUAAGACACUGUGAUGCGAUAAUUAACUUUACACACAAAUUAAACUCUCUUUUGACAAUUGUAGUAUAUGUAUAAGUAGGGAUCGUUCUAGACCGGGGAUUAGGAGGGCUUGCUAAUAACCUCUAAACUUACUCAAAAACAUUAAACUAAACUUAAAAACACUUAACAAGACUCACAAGACUCAAAGCAAACUUAAAAUACUCAAAACAGCUUAAAACAACCAAAUAAACUUAAACUAGACACUAGGAAUGACUUUGGACGAAAAUUGACUUUUACUUGAAUCAAAACACUUAAAAACACAAACUAAAACAUAUUCUCACUAAUUAAACACACUAAAGUAAAGGGGGAUUGAGUUUUGGACGAAUUUAAAAUAAAAACAAGUAACUAAAACUUAAGAUAGAUUUUGGACGAAUUUGGUUGAAUUAGAUGGAUGAUAAGCUAGCUAGAGACUCUUUCUCCACACAUGACAUGUAUGCAAACGAAUCAAUUUCCAGUUACUCCUUCAUCGAAUUAUAAACGACAAUGCCCCAAAUUAACCGUGACAUCACUAGUUAACUCUCAUAUUUUCCUUGUUUAUUGGAUUGGAUGACAUCAUUCGACAACCCAAAGCAUUCUUCAAAAGUUCCCUACAUGACAUCAUAAUAAAGAUACAAUCAAAGAUCAUUACGUUCAAUGAAAAUCAUAAGCAUUGACAAAGCACUUGCAACUAUGACAUCAUGUCACUCAUGCUAGGAAUUAAACUUAACGCGAUCGUUUAUAAGCGACCUCCACUACUUGUAAAUAUAAGUUUGUAACGAUUAUGUGAAACUUUCUUAUAUUCUAGCAACGUAUUUAUGCAUGCCAAUUAAGUGUCAACCCUUAAUCAAUAAAUACAAAUAAGUUAUCAAUCAAAUAGUUAAGCCAAUUGCAUUCAUGAUUCAAGAACUCAUAACUGGAAUAUAUCAACUCCUAUUGCACACAUAAACAUGGCUUUGAAAUCACCCCUAGCCAAGAGGGGUUUAGUUCCUCAUGUUCGCAAAACAAAGAUACAUAAACUUAAACAUUGAAAACAAAGAAUGAAAACACCUAAAAACGCUCCAACAAUCCAACUCGAAUGGCAAGCACGUCCAAGGGUCCUCCUUCUUCUCUUUGUUGCGGCACAAGGUGUGGUUUGAUGGAUGAGUGGUAAAUUAUGGUGGUGGAUGGAUAUAGGUGAGUUAUGGUGAAGGGUGGAUGGGUGGAUUGUGUUCAUGCCUCUCCCUCUAAAUUUGAACAAGUAUAUAUUCUGAAUUUAGGCUUAUGUGGUGGUGAAAAAGGGUGGUGAAUGGUUAAGGAGAAAAAACCCUCCUUGCGGCAGAAUGUGUCUUUCCUUCCAAGCUAUCCGUGCAGUUUGCAUGUGUGUGUAUGAGUGAUGUCUCCACUCUUUGCAUGUGCCGUGUGUGAAUGAUGCUCCACUUUCUUUUCUCCCAAACUGUCCGUCUAUCCUCCUUCUUCCAUGUGCCAGCCCCUCUUUUCAUGUGUGUGUGCUGUCAUGUAAUUAUCAUUUCCACAUAACAUCAUUUCAGCUAGCAAUCACACACUUUUUGCCCAUGCCGUGUCUCUCAUUUCCUUUGAUGUGUGUGUGCUAUCCUCUUCUUUCUUUCCCAUGUGCCGUGUAUGAAUGUUGUCUCUCUGUCUUUUCAUGUGUGUGUGCUGCCAUUUAAUCAUCAUUUCCACAUUGUACCAGCUGUUACACUUGCACACACACACAUGCUGAUUUCCAACCUUCUAAUCUUCAAAAACGUCCAUCCUCAUUUCUCCAUGCUUGCACUAUGCAAUCUUGGCCCAAAAAUGCUCCAAAAUGCUCCAAGUAGUGAUGCGAAAUAUAUAAGCACACAAAUUAAACCCUCUUUUUAUCAAUUGUAGUAAAGUAUGUA
This 77965-nucleotide long non-coding RNA is filed under the name Malus domestica (apple). Its description in RNAcentral is "long non-coding RNA (MDOM_LNC019708)". Lineage: Eukaryota; Viridiplantae; Streptophyta; Magnoliopsida; Rosales; Rosaceae. The record is from RNAcentral.